CGCGAUGAAUCGGUUAGAACGUUGAACUCCGGGAGUCGUUGAAACUCCCGUCCCGACCCGGGUUCAAAACACAGCAUCUUCUUAGAACAAAGCUAGACCCCCGUGGUCGAGGUUUUUUUUUUUUAAGUAGAGAGGAGUGUUGCAUAAGCUUUUGCAGUUUGCAUGAUAUGCUGAACAAUGGCAUUGCUGGCAAAUGUGCAGACUAGAGGGGUGUGUGCUUUAGGUUCAUGCAUCUGAGAGCAUGCAUUUCCACCGGCUAAAAUAAGGAAUCACUUUGAUUUCCUGGAAUGUAGGGGAGAAAAUCCAUCAACAUUUCCCACCAAGUGGAUGCAGGCAUUUGCAUUUCUUUUUCCCUGUCCGCACAUGCACGUCUGACCAAACGGCUGCAGUUCUUCGCGUGCAAUUUGCAGUCGGCAGCAUGAUGCUGGACCUAGCUCAUACAUGCCUUGUUGAUUGCCGUGCAGUGAAGGCUGCAUCCCUGCUCUGCCAUUUGAAUAUUUUUCUUUUGUGAGCAGCGUAUCAUGUCGUUGCAUGCACACUGAUAGCUGCUUUCACACAAGAUAGUUUCAAGAGAUAUUGUUCGUAUCUGCUUACUGCACUGACCGACAAACAUGCUGAAGUUUAAGAAAUCAAAAACCAGAGCCGUAAACAAGGAUCGCUUGCUCUUUCUAACCACUGAUCUCAGCAGCAGACGCAACUGGGGGGUAGGAUAUGCGUCCCAGUCCUCUGACCUAAUUCCUUCACAUUGUUCUUGUUCAGUUACGAAAUGGACAAGUCUUUUGUAUAAACCUCCCUGUCAAUUCAGGUAGUCAUCCGUACGUAACUUGAGCCGCAAAAGAAGAGCGACACACUAGCAGCAGAGCAGCAGGACAAAUGGACAACCGCUGUUCUUCUGCACUCGUGUUCUCAUGUACGUUGCCAUCAGUUCAUCUGGUUCUGGUCAACUCAUCCUGCAAUUUUCUAUGCUUUCAGCAGAGUACAGAGGUUGCAAGGCAUCCAUCAACUGGCUUGUUAAUUAGUGCUGACAUUGGCCCAAUCGGGAGGCGGUGUCGUAGCAUAUAUCUUGCCCUGUCACAGAUUGAUGCAGGGGAUGGUAUAGAAUAGAUAAACCGCCAAAGCAAGGGGAUCUUGCGCCUUGGUAGUAGGAGAAAUUGGACAAUUGGUGGCAAGUGGUGAUGUCGCCGGGCGCGGACUCUUAGGAAGAUCAUCACGCACGCUAUCCAAUCGAAUACACACACUUCACAAGUCAGCGAAUCGGCAAAUGCAUUUUCAUUGUGUCUGACCUUGUGUCCAAAGGUAUCGUAUCGCCCAUUUGAAUACAAGAUGAUGAGCUCAUUUUCUUGGACGCUGAAGAAGAAAUUCGGGCAGAAAUUUCAAACACCCGCGAAGAAACUUGGAACAAUAUCCAUAGUAAAAUAAAAGGAGCGUAAUAAGCUGUCGUGGAUAUACAUAAUAAGCCGUCGUUAUCUGAUGAUGUUGGGAAGGAAGAAUCGACGAACUCGGAGGCGCAUGCCUGGGAAGAAGUUUCAGCCGACUUGCGCCGUUGCCACACGGGCACAGCCUCCCUGCAUGAAAAACGAAACGAAGUGAAUUGAUUGAUUUCACGCGGCAUGGUCGUCGCUUGCCCCGCAUGGAUCGCCUCCUGCUGCCCUGUCGUCACGGACGGAGCUGUGGCCUGUGGGUGCCGCUGCUGCCUCGAUUUGUUGCUUUCGGGGAUCAAGUUCGUGGAAGAGGGGUGCGUCGUUAGUCAAGGGCCCGAUCGAGAUGCAUGGACGGAUGAUCUGCCCAUCUUGUACCUGUACUUUCGUGUAUAUGGCGCGUUGACCUGUGUGUUGCUGAAGGAUCGGGACGGGCGACAAGAGUGGGGUGAAUGGGAGUCUUUAAAAAUUUUCUCCAAGAACAACAUCUAUGUCCCAAAACACCCAAGAAGCCUCUCUUCUUGCAAUUGUCAAGAUCACGUAGUCGUAGAAGACCUAGUGACCGUAGAAACGAUGCUAGAAAAGUCUAGAAGCAAUGCGGAAGCAAGGCAAAAGAUCCAAGGCAAAAUGAGACUUAGCACCUCGUCUGCCAGGAUUUGUCAGAUAUUCCGGCACCCUACCAUACUCCAGUGAUGAGUCUAUUGAAUACUUCGGCACCCCAUCGGAUACUCCGGUACUUGAUCUAUCAGAUAUUCCGGCACAUACUCCGAUACUAGGACUAUCGGAUACUCCAUCAAAAGGUUCACAACCUCUCGGGAUUGAAUUUAUCGGAAUUUCUAGCACCCUACCGGAAAUUCUAGCACCUUUCAGCAUAACAUAAAACCCAGUCCGAAACUCCAGUCAACGCUCCAAAAUCCAUCCAAACAAUCUCCAAAUCACACAAAACUUUAACAAUAGCUUCACACACAUAUGAAGAGUCUUUGCUUAAAAGAUCUCCUUAAAAAGAUCGAGACUUUACCAUGGAUUUUGUGGAUUCGGGGAAACCAGAAAAAGAAAAGAGAUGAAGAACUCAAGAACAACCUCAAAGAUCUGAUCUUGGAAGACCAAUCAAACGUGAUCCAAAUCCUACAACAUCAUAGCCAUAGCUGCACAUACAUGUGGGGAACCUUUGCCCAAAAGAUCUUCACAAGAGGACCAAGUUUUCACCCUCGAUUUCAUUGAUUUGGCCAAGAACACUUUGCAUGGAUUUGCUAGGGGAUCAUCCUAGAUGUUCUUGCACAUGUCCCAUCAUCGAGUUCCCCAAGAAUUCCUCCCAAAAACACAGCCAAAAUCGAGAUCAAAAAAAUCCUCCAAAAAUAACUUCGAAAAUAAGGAAAAAAAAUAAAUUUCAUAUCCGAGCACGAAUUUGAUCUUUGGAUUACUUGACCAAAUCCAAUUACAAGCCACUUCUAGCAAAAUCAAAGCUUUGGAUGGUAAAAAGACAUCUCUCUCCUCUUUCCCUACCAAAAACUCUCACACCACAAAUAAGAAGCUCACCCCAAAGAGAUUCAAGAGAUAUAUAUAUAUGUGGACCUGAUGCCUUCACGAUUUGAGUUUGUCUCGACGUAAGCUUCGCGCUAGUGUCACACAUCCUCCGACUCGACGCCGUCCGGCCACACCGGACUCACCUCCCGGUUUUGAGGCCAAACCAGUCAAACCCUCUUGCACACCCUGCCAGGUGUGACUCACCCCCCAUUUUGAGGCCAAACCAGUCAAACCCUUUUGCACACUCUGCACGCGUGACUCACCCCUGGUUUUGAGGUCAAAUCGGUCAAACCCUCUUGCACACCCUGUAAGCAUGACUCACCCCCAGUUUUGAGACCAAACCAGUCAAACCCUCCUGCUCGCUGCACACAACGUGACUCAUCGAUGCCGACAGUUGUCCAGCCUCCGCCAAGCCUUUGACACAUCCAAGUCUUUUGCUCCCGCUCCCAGGUUGCCUACUCGACUCACCUCCGUCCCACUUGACUCGACCGACGCCGUCUUCAUCCCAGUGUACUCUUGCUCUUUCGUGCACCAUGUGGAUCACUUAUGAUUCCGCCCGGACUCCUCGGAUCGUUCGGUCCAAGCCUACUCGUAUCCACCCUUCACAGGCCUCGGUAUGAACCUUUCGCUUCACCACCUCAUACCGUCAACUGUCAUGUCGCAUUCAACACCUGCGCAUCACAAGUCAAGAGACACAAUGUAAAACAUAUGUCUACACACACCACAACAUAACACACACGACACAACACAUCUGGUUAGCUGUUAGUAUAAUCACACACAUAUGAAAUAUGGACUCAACCGAAAAAGUCUCGACUCAUCCGGUGAAUCACUCAUCAUAAAUAGAUCAAGGCACAUCUCAACUUGGUCUCUCACUCACAUAUUGAUGAUGCAGGCAGGGGAUAAAAUGGAUGAUGGAUUAAAGAGAAGUGUUUCGAUCGGUCGGAGAAACUGGAGGCAAGUGAUGUCGCCUGCACGGACUCUGAUGAGGACGAAGAUCACGUACGCUAUCCAAUCGAGUGCAGACAGUGCAGUACAAGUCAACGAAUCUGGAAGAGAGUUGUUUUUUAUUUAUUUAUUUUUAAAUGAUGGAAGAGGCUUUGGGCCCUCGUGUCCAAAGACCCGUAUCGCUCAUCUGAAUGCGCGCAGGAUCAUCGGCUCGGUUCCUUUUACGCUGAAGAAGAAGAAAUUCAGGCAAGUUAACAAUGCACCCGGCCGGAAGAGACUUCAGACGAUAUUCAGAUGAGAGCAGAGUAAAACAGUGACGUCCUUUCAGCAACACUCAUGGAGUCAUGGGUAUAACAAUAAGCUGUAGUAGUACAUCCUUAUCAGUUCAUGAUCGGAAGGAAGAAACACCAUGUCAGCAUCCGUCGCCGGCGCCGGCAUAGUGGUCGUGGGUGGGCAAGGGACGGCGACUCCUGCAGCAGGGAGUGAUGGACUGGAUGGUCUCCGGGGUUAUCAUAUCCGUCCGAUCGAUCUCCCAUCUCCCGAGUCAAGGGCUGGAGCGAGAUGCAUGGAUGGAGGUGGAAUGAGAUCUUCUAACUUUACCUCCUCUAACUUUGAGUCAUUAGAUCCAAAUGCAACGAGUUCUGUAUGACGGUGACAGGUUAAAAGUUAGAGGAUCUGUUUCCGAUGGGGUGAUUUGCCCAUCUGGCCGGUGCGUCAGCGAUAGUUCUUCUUGAUCUAAAGCUAGUCAAGGUUCGAGGAGCCUACCAUCAGCAGGAGGGAGGAGGGCCAGGUAGCUGGUGACAAUUACUGAGACAGGACUGGGGGUCUCCUGGCCGGCCUCAGGGUCGUCGUCGGGCCGGUGACUUCGACGCCCAUGGCGAGUCAAAGGUCGCCUCCUCCAUCGGUGCAGUGACGUAGCAUGGCCAUCCACUCCCCAUUGCCGCAGCUUCUGGAUCAGGGUUCUUCCUCGAAACUCCCUGCACGCACCGGUCGGUUUCCGUUCUGGGUACGCGUAGCUUUGACAGCCAUGAAUGAGCACCAACUGAUGAUGAUGAUGAUAAUGAUGGGGGAGGUGUAUAUAUAAUUAUUAUGUACGUGGGCUAGGCCUCUUUCGGCCUCCAUGGCCUUGGGCUGGGCUGCUGCUACGCUUCUGCCCGCUCCCCCAUCCCAUCCAUAUGAUGAUGGCUUCCCGGCCCGGCCGUAUCCAAACAGCCCAUGUCUUCCCCUCCCAUCAACAAUGGGCCUCGGAAGUGGAAGGCCAGAGGAGGCCGAACUUUCGACCUCCGCUUCCGACUCGACCUCCGCUUCCGACUCGAAGUCAGCCAACACGAUGACACGAUCGACUAUAAAAUAAAAUGCAUCUAUCCCUACAACCCCACAUCUCCCAGCAGGGCUCUCCGCCGGAAGCAAGAACGUACGCCCCCUACAGAUUCUAGCAGCGAGCAUCUUCGACUUCAGGUACGUCCAACUGUUCGAUUUUUUUGCCUGCCUCUACAACUUCUAGCAGUCUCGUUCGUAUUCAUGGUGUCGGUUGAUGAUCUCUAUAGCGUAUAUAUCGGUGUUGUUCAGGUAGGGUUACGGGAUUAUUUUGGAUGGAAUUUGUGGCUCAUCUCAUAUGAUUUGGUUAGAUCUUAUGAUCUGUUGGCCAGCCUUUAGUUUGUGACUGUAGAUUUUUCCUUCUUCCUUCUGCUACCUGCUUGAAUUGUGGGCCUUUUUGGCUAGCUAUUGAUGAUUGCUCUAUAGCCUAAUAAACAAAAGCGAGACGAAAACAUCGGCUAUUAAUCUUUUUUUAAGGAAAGGCUGCUAUUAAUUUUAGUUGCUGGUUGAUAUUAACGGCUGCAUAUUCUGUUUUCCGAUUAGAUCGAUUCAUUAUAUUCUAGCAGUGUUAGGUUCUUCAUGGCUGGUUUGGCAUUCGCCUGCCCUCAUGCAUGGUUCUACUCCAGUAUUUCGGCAAGUUGAGAACUGCAUACUCACUUAUCUCGUCAAUGUACAGAACUGAGUGAACCAUGUUAUUUUAAUGAUUGCUCAAGACUUAACUUUGUAUCCUAGGCUUGAUGUUUUCUAUAAGCAACGAAAUUACAUAGUAGAUUUCUACUCUUGCUUCUACUGCUUUUUAGAUAGCUGGUUCUUGCUUCUGCCACAUGUUGGAAUCGUUGUAUAGACUAAAUAAUUAAAAGCUGGAUUAAAGUAUUUUUGUCUACAGUAAAAAAUAAUUGUUGGUGAUGUUUGGUGUGCUAGUUCAGAAUGCAGAUCUUUGUGAGGACCCCCACCGGGACGACGAUUUGCCUCAGGGUCCAACCAUCAGAUACCUUGUAUGCCGUUAAGCAAAAGAUACUGGAACGCCACCACCUUGCCUUUGAUGGAGUGCUGCUGGAGGAUAACCUUACAUUGGCUGAUUAUAACAUCCAACAUCAAUCCACGCUCGACCUCCAAGAAAAGAUGCAAAUCUAUGUAAGGGAGACACUAAAUGGCAUGACUUUCAUUCUUGAGGUUGAUAGCUUAGAUACUAUCGAUAGCAUAAAGGACAAGAUUGAAGAUACCGAGGGGUUUCCCAAGAGCCUGCAGUGCCUCAUCUUUGCCAACGAACAGCUGGAGGGCAAGCGCACCCUGGCGGACCACAACAUCUGCAAGGACUCCACCCUUCUCCUCGUCCUCCACCCAUGCCCGAGAGGCACGAUGCAGAUUUUUGUGAAGAUGCUAGAUGGAAAGACCCCCACUUUUCAGGUCGAGAGAUCGUAUACCGUCAGCUAUGUCAAGAUGAAGAUCUAUGAGAUGAAGGGCAUCCGCCCCAUACAGCAACGCCUCAUCUUUGCCGGCCAGCAACUGCAGGGCAGGCGCACCCUGGCGGACUAUAACAUUCAGAAGGAGUGUACCCUCCAUCUGGUACUCUGCCUUUGUGGUUGUUGACGAGACUGAUGCCAUGCAAGGUCAUCCAACAACGAGAGUUCUUUUGCUGAAGUACGUCAUGUUUCUUUCUUUCUACUAGCGGCGUGUUAUCAGUAAAACUAUCAUCAAUUAUAGGCCAUCAGUUUGCUAAGGUCUUUUUUCAUUUGCAAGUAGCGUUUUGUGUUAUCAUCAGUAAAAUUUUCGUUUGUGGUAACGUUAAUGUCUGAGAUCUUAGCAUAGUUGAUUCAGAAAUACAGUCAACAGCUUCAACUUGUGAUUACGUGUUCGCAAGCAUCACGUCACGCGUCAGUUCAAUACCCGGUUGGCUUCUUGUCUCUAUCACGGCAGCCUCUCGGUUGAUUUUAAGGGUGCGUUUGUUCGAGGGUUGAGGUGGGUUGGAACAGGUUGAAUUUAGAUGGAUCUAUAUUUGGUUCAGAAAUAAAGUGUGUUGGGUUCAUCCCCACAGGGAAUAUACCCCUCAGAUCCAGGUCGAGACGGUCCGUCCAAAUUGAACGAACCAUCUCGACCUACUUCCCUAUUUCAACAGUGUCGCUCUCCGGCUGGACAAGCUCGAGCCCCGCUCCUGCGGCCGGAUGAGCUCGAGCCCCGCCGCCGCCGGCCACCGCGGGCUGAUGCUCGGCCUGGACGGCGGCCGCGACGGCCGGGGAUACACCCCAUACGACGACGCAUCAUCUUUGCCGCUCAGAUACCGUCUGGGAUCUUAUUAGCAUCAGUUGAUUCAGAAAUACAUUCAGCAGCUUCAACUUGUGACUACGUGUUUGCAAGCAUCCAGCGGCCAUUGCGUGCGCUUGUGAAAGAGAGAUAGGGCCUAGGGGAUCAGAUCAGCAGGAGAGGGACGGGCCAGGUAGAUGGUGACAAUGAGACAGGACUGGGGGUCUCAUGAUCUCGGGUCGUCGGCCGUCCACUCCCCAAUGCUGCCGCUUCAGAUCAGUGAUCAAGCUACCGCUUCUUCCAGGAAAAUCCCUGCACGCACCGAUUUCCUCCGUUCGGGGUACGCGUAGCUCGGACAGUCAUGAAUGAGCACCAACUAAUGGGGGCAGAUGCAUAUAUAUAACUUAUAACUACUCAGGUUGACGCACGCCUAUACAAAAGAUGUUAAUCUGAAAUAAUGAUGAGAAACCAUUUUAUUAUCUUAUUGUGCUUAAUCAAAAAAAAACAUAAUAUAGAAUCAAAUCGAUCGCAUCUAAUAUUAAAUUCAAACAAGUUUUUAUCAUAAUAGUCAUUCGAGCACCGUGUAAUUUUUUUCUUAGGAAGUCAUGAGCCUUAGUAGAUAUAGCUAACGGAUUGACGUGCUAUGUUACCCUGAUACUUGGUUUUGAUAGAAAUAAAACAAAUUAAAUUAGCAAUGAAUGAAUAAUUCAAUCAUAUUUUGCAAUUUAAUUUGAAGGCAAGGUCAAAAAAUAGUAGGGCUACCAGAGGUGAAGCUAUUAUGCAAAGUUUAAUAAUUAUUUUAUACAUAGAAAAAAUUAAAUAUAUUUAUACUUUCCGUACAAUGUAAUUGCAAAUAAUAGAAAAAUCGUCAUCGAUAUUUUUUUAAAAAAAAUUCAUGAGACCCACUCGAUAGUAUCGUGGAUCCCACUGAAGAGUACGUGGAUCCCAUACAGAUCCCACUUGAAUAGUUUGUUGAUCCCACGUGAAUUUUUUUAAACAAUACGUGGAUCCCACGUGAUGUCGGGAUGCAUGAGGAGGCACGAAACCUAGGAGCGUACAUGGGCCAGGCCUCCUUCGGCUUUCAUGGCUUCCCGGCCCGUAUCCAAACAGCCCAUGUCUCUUCCUCCCGUCAAUAAUGGGCCUCCGAAGUGGAGGCCCAAGUCCGGCCUGCUAUCGCUCGCCGCCGUCCGGACGGAAUCGUCGUCGAUCGAGGAGACCAAAACUUUCCACUUCCGCCCCAAGUCGUCCGUCCACGCUUCCAAUCGAUCUCCCAGCAGGGCUCUCCGCCGGCGGAAGCAACAACGUACGCCCCUGCAGAUUCUAGCAACAAGCAUCUUCGUCGGCUUCAGGUAAGUCGAGCUGUUCAAUUUUUUGCCUCUCUCUCUCUCUCUCUACUACUUCUAGCAGUCUCAUUCGUAUUCAUGGCGUCGGUGAUGAUCUCUAUAGCGUAUAUGUCAGUUUUCGUGUAGGGUUACGGGAGUAUCUUGGCUGGAGUUUGUGGCUCAUCACCUCAUAUGAUUUGUUGUUGGCUCUUGGGAUCUGUUGGCCAGCCUUUGUGACUGCAGAUUUAUCUUCUUUCUUCUAUUCUGCUACCUGUUUGGAUUGUUGACAUUUUUUGGCUGUUAAUUGCUCUGUAGUAGCCUACACAAAAGCAAGAAGAAAAGCGUAUCCUACUAAUUUUAGUUGCUCGUUGAAACAAGGGCUGCAUAUCCUGUUCUCCAAUCGGGUCGAUGCAUUCUAGCAAAUCUGAAGUGUGCGCUAGCUAGCUUCAGUAAUGCUAGAUUCUUCUUUGCUGAUUCGGCAUUCGCCUGUCCUCGCCGUUGUAUUCCAGUACAAAGUGCUCGGCAAAUUGAGAACUACGUAUUCACGCUAUCUCUUCGGUUCGAUGCACAGAACUGAGUGAACCAUGUUAUUCCAAUGAUUGCUCAAGACUUAAACUUUGUAUCCUAGGCUUGGUAUUUUCUAUAAGCGAUGUACAUUACGCAGUAGAUAUCUGCUCUUGCUUCUACUGUUUUUUAGAUAGCUCGUUCUUGGCUUCUUGCUUCUGCCACCUGUUGGAAUUGUUGUAUAUAGCCUAAAUAAUUAAAAUCUGUACUAAAGCAUUCUUUUUGUCUACAUUCAGAAUGCAGAUAUUUGUGAGGAGCCCCACCGGCAGGAUGAUUUGCCUCAGGGUCCAACCAUCACAUACCUUGUAUGCCGUUAAGCAAAAGAUAUUGGAACACCACCACCUUGCAUUUGAUGGAGUGUAGCUGGAGGAUAACCUCACAUUGGCUGAUUAUAACAUCCAGCAUCAAUCCACGCUUGACCUCCAAGAAAAGAUGCAAAUCUAUGUAGCUCAUGGAGACGACUCCUGUGUAGCUGACGCUGGAGUAGAAGAUUUGAGACUUUGGUGAUUUGUAAAUAUAUCACAUGACUCUCCAUAAAGAUAAUACCUCCAAAUCUUUAGAGAAAAAUAACUGCAGCUAACUCCAAAUCAUGUGUAGAGUAAUUCUGCUCAUGCUUCUUCAAUUGCCUUGAUGCAUAAGCAAUCACUUUACCUUCUUGCAUAAGCACACAACCAAGCCCGAUUCAAGAAGCAUCUGUAUACAAAGUGAAGCGUCUGCCACUCUCAGGUAAUGUCAAUAUAGGAGCAUUCACUAACUUACUCUUCAGAGUUUGGAAACUGGCCUCACACUCUUUAGUCCAUAUGAAUGGAACACCCUUCUUAGUGAGAUUAGUCAUUGGCUUAGCAAUAAUUGAGAAACCCUGCACGAAACGCCGAUAAUAACCUGCAAGCCCAAGGAAGCUCCGAACCUCUGUUACAUUGGUUGGUCUUUGCCAUUCCACCACUGAGGCAACAUAUCUAAUGCCAUGCUGAUUAAUGACAUGACCAAGGAAGCUCACUUAAGAAAGCCAAAAUGCACAUUUCUUCAAUUUUGCAUAGAACUUGUUCUUCUGAAGUGCAUGCAAGACAAGACUGAGAUGAACCUUAUGCUUCUCCUUUGACUUGGAGUAGACUAAGAUAUCAUCGAUGAAUACCACAACAAAAACAUCCAAGUACUCAUGCAACAUCCUUUCAUGGCCUCCAUAAAAACAGCAUGGACAUUUAUUAGUCCAAAAGACAUAACCACAUAUUCAUAAUGCCCAUACCUUGUAUUAAAAGCCGUCUUCUCAAUAUCCUCUUCCUUGAUACAUAGUUGAUGGUAACCACAUUGCAAGUCAAUCUUAGAGAAUACCUUGGCACCUCUCAAUUGAUCAAAGAGAGCAUCAAUACGAGGCAAAGGGUACUUGUUCUUGAUUGUCACUUGAUUAUGUGCUUGAUAAUCAACACAAAAUCUUUUAGUGCUAUCCUUCUUUUCUACAAACAAGACUGGGGCAGCCCAAGGUGACGUGCUUGCUUGGUUAAACCCUUUAGUAAGAAGUUCAUCCAAUUGUUUCUUUAACUCCACCUGCUCCAAAGGAGCCAUCUUGUAUGGUGUCUUAUAUAUAGGUUGCGUUCCAGGAACUAACUCACUACUAGAAACCUUGGCUUUAGUCUCGGUUGGUAGGGGUCAAAUUUCUCUAAAACCAUUCAGGAUAUAAUUUUCGAGACAAAAGGUGGGGGUCCUUUAGUCCCGGGUCAGGCCCCCUUUAGUCCAUGUUGGUGCUACGUAGUCCGGGACUAAAAAUUUCAAAAUAAAAAUAAAAAAAGCAGCCCACGCCCGUCGGCCGCUGGCCGCGCGCCGCCCUGACACUGCUCCGCUCCGGCCUCCGCCUCGGCCCCAGCCUUCGCUCCGCCUCCACUGCUCCGAGCCCGCGCCACCUCUCCACCCUGGCCUCCACUCCGAGCCCUCGCCGCUGCGCGCCCUCGCCCCGCUGCCGCUACUCACUGCCAGUGAGGGGCGAGCAGAGGGGGAAGGGGAGGGGCAGCAGGGGGAGGGGGUUGGCACUCGUGCUGGAGGGAGAGGAGGAGGAGGAAGAAGAAAGGGGAAGAUAAGGAGCUGUGCACCGGAGGGAGUCCUGGUCUUCUAAGGAAGAUAAAGAGGAUGCACUGUAGCGCAACCAAUCCGGGGUCCUCCCUGACGGGCCCUCCAUCCGUCGCUCGUAGGGAGUGGCCAAGGGGUUAAUGGGGGAGCAUAAGAAUGCGCCGCCGGGGUGUCGAAGGAGCUUGGUGCCGGAGAAGGAUCUUUUUCUUCAUUGAGCUCGUUCUCAAAUCUGGAUGCACCAGCGGCCGGCUGGGGGGGGGGGCGCCGGAUGGUGGUGGGAGGUGGGACAUGGCCGGCGCAGGCCUGGAGGGGUUGGGAGGGGAGUGGACGCUAAGGCCGGAGUGGCCGCCGGCGGGUGGCGCGGUGGGCGCGAGGUCUAGAGAGAGAAACUAGAGAAAUGCCCGUUAUUUUCCACUUCCAGUAAGCUAUAUAGAGUAAGUAACAUACAUGGAGUAUUGUACUGUUAGUUUCUUUGCAGUUUAUUCUAAGAUGUUCCAUCCUUCAUUUGAGUAACUAUUUGUCAAUUUGACAAAUUAACCACAUUCAAAAGCUAUACAAGCAGAGGGAGCCGCAUGACAGGCCAUUUGUGAUGUUGCAUUGUUGGGCGUUACUCAAACACCAUAGAAGUGGAUCAAUCGGGAUAAUGAUUGUCAUCUACUUAAGAAGAAAGCACAAAAGUCUUUUUCAGAAUUUGAGAAUGAGGGUGAUGACAAUGAUGAUGAUGUGGAGGAGAGUGGCAUUCCAAGAUCGGCAGUGAACCACAAAGAGAGACCUUCAGGGAGGAAGCAAGAGAAGGAGAGGGUAAAGAAAGGAGGAGAUGGUAUUGUGUUCCAGUCCGCAGUUCCAGAGAUGAUUGAAACAAAGGAGGAGAUACCAGUUACUGGGAAAGGAUUAUUGGAAGACUGCUGGAGAUGCUCUUAAUUGUAUAGCCUAAACAAAAGCAUUUGUUGCUGUUAAUUUUAGUUGAUACUAGAAAAUAAGGGCUGCAUAUUCUGUUUUUUUCCAAUUAAUUCGAUACGUUGUAGCAACUCUAAAGUGUGCGCUAGCUUCUGUAACAUUAGAGUGUUGUUGGCUGAUUUGGCAUUUGCCUUUCGUCGGUUCUAUUCCACUAGAAAGUGUUCAGCAAUUGAGAACUUUCUCGCUUAAUCUAUUCAGAUAAAUGCACAGAAUUGAGUGAACCAUGUAAUUUUUAAUGGUUGCUCAACACUACUUUGUAUGCUAGCUAGCUAGGCUUGCUCUGUACAAACAUUGUAUUUACACAGUAGAAUUGUUGGCUUUUUCUUGUAUAACCUAAAACCGAAAGCUUGAUUGAGCCACUUUUGUCUAAAAAUGUUAAUGUUGAAGUGCUCAUUCAGAAUAUAUUAUCUUUGUGAGGAGGCCCACCGGCAGGAUAAUCCACCUCAGUGUCCAACCAUCACAUACCUUGUAUACUGUGAGAGAAAAAAUUCUGGAACAACACUGCCUUGUCUUUGAUGGAGAGCAGCUAGAGGACAACUUUACACUAGCUGACGCUUGACCUCCUAGAAAAGAUGCAAAUCUAUGUAAUGGAGACGCUAGCAGGCAAGUCCAUCACCCUUGAGGUUGAAUACUAUUGACAACGUGAAGGGCAAAAUUGAAGAUCCUCAUGUUUUCCAACAAACAGCUGCACGACAACAGCACCUUGGCGACAACAACAUUUGGAAGGAGGCCAUCGUUCUUCUUGUCCUCCACCCAUUUCCAAGAGGCACGAUGCGGAUCUUCGUGGUGAAGAUGACUAGAAGGACCAUGCAUCCCUCUUUUGGUUGAGAGUUGAGAUACCAUCGACGCUGUGAAGCUGAAGAUCUAUGAGAAGGAUGGCACUCGCCCCAGACGGCAACGCCUCAUUUUGCUGGCAAACAGUUGGAGGACAGCCAGACCUGGCUGACUAUAUCAUUCAAAAUGAGUCUACCAUUGACGUCGACGUGGUGCUCUGCCAAUGUGGUCGCUGAGAUGCAUGACCAUCAACACGGAGAUACGUGAUGUAUGGCCAUUCAACAAGGAGAUACAUUUGCUGCAGUCUUCUUUCUUUCCUUCCAGUAGUGGUGUGUCAUCAGUAAAACUACUAUCAUUGUAGGACGUUAGUAUUGCUGCAUUCUUCUUUCUUUAUUAUCAAACUGAGAUUAACUUAUCUGGCCAACCCAUCGUGCGUUGUGAUGUACUACAGUACAGCAGAUGGUUCGUUCUCACAACAGAAUCAAACAGGAAAAUCACGGCAAUUACAAAUGGGGAUGUCGGCCGGAUAAACAAUUACUAUUUUAUUUGGCAACAAUUCAAGUACUGUUUUGGCAGCAGUAAAGGAAAACUAGUAAGUUCCGGCUGAGUUUUUCUGGAUAAAAACAUAAAACGCUGCCGCUGUUACGGCGCACAAAAUCCCUGCGUUCUCCAUUGAGUUCGCAUGUGUGUUUCCACAGCUCACCGGACGGCCGCCGUCGAGUUGAUCUCCGGCGAACCUCUGACAGAGAUGUGCGUGGCACUAUGGUGGAUGUGGACCCACCACUCGUUACACGGUCAAAAGGGGCCCAACCAGGUCGAAGGGCAAGGAAGAAACUCUGGGCCGCCUCUGGCUGCCGGGAAUUAUUGGCUGAUUGCUUUUUGGAAAAUAAAAAUCAGCUCCGGUUGGAAGUCCUAAUUCUCUUCCACUUCCGAUUCCAACCUUCAAGUUCCUGCCAAGUCGAGUAUAUACACAUACAUCUAUCCCCAAACCUUUCAUCAUGGAAAAUGCAAAACCACAUGUACAUGUGACCACAUGACUUAUCUUAACCGUUAAUUUCUUUUUAUCCAACUGUUGAUCCACUACCUACCCCAUGUACUUCUUACCUACCAAUGAUCUAUCCCACCAUUGAUUCAAAAAUAAAUGGCUUAGAUAUAUAACUCAUGUGGUCACAUGUAUAUCCUUUCGUUAUAGUAUGUUAAUGUGUGAGAUCUUGUAUCAAGAGUCCCUGGGUUUGUCUUGGCAUCAUUUUAUUGAGAAAAACAGUUGGUGGCUUCAACUUUAGUAAGGUGUGUUGCAAGCAUGCAGCGGCAAUUGCAGAGGUCACAAGCAUGCAUCAGCUCAAUACCCUAUCUGCUAAUUGUCUCUGUCACGCAGUCUCUCGGUUGAUUUUAAUCUUAACAAGACGUGCACAAGCACAACCAUUGUUCCCACGGAAAUCCUAAAGAGAAACAUAAAAAUCGUACUAACCUUUGCUCAGAAAAAAAAUGGACUGAAAUAUAGGGUGUGUAAAAAAUAUUACAAGCUUUUAGUAGUAAUAUAUGUUUCCAUAAUAACCCAGGUAACGCACAAAAGUAUAGAUGACAUUAUCGUGGAGACUGAAUUCCCAAGUAUGCUGAAUCAGUCAUGCUGACAUACCCGUUGCUAAGCUCGAUUUCGAAGCAAGCGUUUGGUGAUCCAACGAGCAUAGCUCCCUCGUCGGAAGUCUCCUGCCCCCAUGGAUGCUGCGACAGGUUCCUAAACCUCUCAAGCUCAUCUGCAACCUCCCGCAUCGGCGGUCUCUGCUCGCUAGCCAUCUCCAAGCAUCGCCUCGCCAGCUCGGCCAACUGCUCGAUCAGCUCGAUGCUCUCUUCGCCUUUGAUCUGUUCGUCCAGUAUCUCGCCAAGCCUGUUCUCGCUCAUGGCCAGGAGGAAAUGUGCCGAGAGGUUUAUUUCCUCAUCGAUUGCCUGAAGGUUCGUCGCCUUCCUGCACGUCAGCAGCUCCAGGAUGACGACGCCGAAGCUGUACACGUCGCUCUUGCUCGUCAGCUUGGAGGUCUGCAUGUACUCUGGAUCCAGGUAGCCGUAGGUCCCCUGGACAAAUGUCACAAACUGGGCCUCGUCCGUCGGAGCCAAAGUCGAGGCUCCAAAAUCUGAGACUUUGACGGUGUAGUUGUCGUCGAUGAGUAUGUUUGCCGAUUUCACGUCGCCGUGGAUGAUCGGCGGCGAGGCCGAGGAGUGCAGGUAGGCGAGUGCUUCCGCGGCCUCGUGCGCGAUCUUCAGGCGCGUCGCGAAGGAGACGCGCGGCCCGUGGUGAUGCCGGCCUUGGAUGAGCUGGUACAGGGUGCCGUUGGGGAUGAACUCGUAGACGAGCAUGGGCACCUCCACCUCAAGGCAGCAGCCAUAGAGCUUGACGACGUUCCUGUGGUUGAUCUGGGACAGGAUGAGCAUCUCCUUCCCGAACUCCUUCUCCUGCCUCUCGCUGAUCAUCUUGCACUUCUUUAUCGCGACCGACCUGUUAUCUUUUAGAGUUCCUUUGUACACGGUGCCAUUCCCUCCCUUGCCGAGCACAUUUCGCUCGUCGAAGUUACCAGUCGCCUCGCCGAGCUCUGCUUUAGUGAACAAUGUGAAGGACAGACCUUGUUUUGACUUCAUUUCCUCCAACAGCAAGAGGCCCCCGUGCUGCUUGAAGUACCUCUUCUUCACAGCGGCAAGCCUCCUCUUCUGGUGGAACAGGUAGGCGCCAGACAGGGUAACUACUAGCAACACUACGGCAAUGCUAACACCUGCAGCAAGGUCGCAGGAUCAGAUGUAUUAGAGGAGAUGAGCAAGUAAUUCAGGUGAUCGAGACCACGACGUACCAGGCAAAACAAUAUUAAAUUCUUCUUCGAUGUGGGUGCAACGCAGUUUUACAGGAUCAUACAUUGUUUUAGGGGGGCAACUGAUGCAAUUGUAUCCUCCUGGAUAAUUAUGGCAUAUUCCAUAGCAUCGGUUUGGUAUGGAACACUCAUCAAUAUCUGCAGCAGCAUCAUAUAUACUUUAGUAGUAUAUAGAAAUUAACGAAAUGAAGACGAUUCCAGCUGUUGAGACUUCAGUCUUUCUUUGGAAACUUUUGUUUUCAUCAGUAAUCCAAAGUGAAUUUCAGUUUUAUCAGAGUUCUUACUAAAACUCGGAUCUAAAUCCUGAUUGUUAGUGAAAAAUCAUAUUGCACAAUGACAAAAGGACAUAUAGUAGGAAAAACAUAAAUCGCAUGUCAAUAUUUGAAGACAGUUUUACUCUGCAGUUCGUUGUCUCUGUGGUUAGUGAUUGGAAACAGAAACGAGCGACUUUGUUCAUAUUCGUAGAAGAGAAGACAACCUAAGGCUAAUCCUAGUGCAUUGUACAUGCAUAUUAAGGGUGCGUUUUGGUAGGAUUCAUAUUCGUAGAAGCAUUUCAGAUCCAAAUUCUUUCUAGAAACAUUUCUCUAAUAAAUGAGAAUCACUUUGUGGAGCUGCUUAGCAAAAUUCAGAUUCUUGAAAAGGAGGUAAAAAUAUUGUUUUUCAUGAAAAAGUCAUAAAAAUAGGUAGGUUUCACAAAAAGAAUAUUGAAUAUUUUGUGGUUAAACAGCGAUUCACAUGAGACCCAUUUUAACUUGUUGCAUUUAAAAACGCUUAACAAAAAAUACAAUUGCUAUAGUAGAGGGGAGGCAAGAAACGGAAUCAAUUGAAACCAGUCUGCAUCCUUUUCGGACCAGUUUGGCAGCUCAAAACGUUUUCGAUUCUAACCAGAAAUGUUAGAAUCACUGCCAAACGGAGAGAGGGCGAAACAUUUCACCGGUGAAUCACUUGAAUCGAUUCUCCUUUUCACUGGUGCUUUCGCCUGAUUCUGUUUGGCCUCCACCCUACUCUAGCAAAAGUAUUUUUUAAUUCUUUUUUAAGUGCAACAAAUUAAAAAUGAGUUGCACUAGCAUAGUUCUUCACCCACAAAAAGCUUCAAUUUUUUAAUAGAACCUAUUUAAUUUUUGUGAUUUUUUAUGUAAAACAAAGAUUUUACCUACCUUUUAAUAAGUUGAAUGUAGCUAAACAGUUUCACAAAGUGAUUAUGAUUCAUUAGAGAAACAUUUCUGGAAAAAAUCUGAAAUGUUUCUAUGAGAAUAUGAAACCCUGCCAAAUGCACCCUUCAUGUGUCUAGGCAAAAAGAAGAGAAUUGAUUCAAGUGAUUCACCCUCUCCCCGUUUGGCAGUGAUUCUAGUGUUUGUGGCUAGAAUCAUAAAUGUUCCAAGAUGCCAAACAGGGCCUAAAUGAGUGCCACGUAGAAUGGUUAGAUGACACCUUAGUUUUGUGUCAUCAUGGAUACUCCCUCUAUCCUAAAUAUAAGGUGAGGUCAAAGUUGGCAUGGUCUUCAAUAGUAGCAUUUGAUUAUUGAUAUCUUUUAUGAUAUAAUAUUAUUAUAGCAACAAAAUUAUAUCCAUAUGGGUGCCAAAAAGGGUAACUACUAGCAUGACUACGGCAAUGCUAACACCUGCAGCAAGGUCACAGGAUCAGAUGUUGUCAAGGAGAUGAGCAAGUAAUUCAGUUAAUGGAGACGACGAUGUACCAGGCAAAAAUUAAGGCAAUUCUUCAUUGGAGUGCAUUGCAUUGUUGUAAGAUCAUACUGUGUUUUAUUAACGCAGCUGGUGCAAUAUAAUUAAUUGGGAGGAGAGUCGUGUGAUUUUUCUUGAUCCUCGUGAACUUGGGAUAGAUUACUAGAACCAUAUUGGGGAAACAUGACUGUUUGUUUUUUUUUUCUUGCUGGACGAAACAAAGAAAGACGUCGUAUAUCCACUUUUUAUUUUUAUUUCCUUUUUUACUUUUGGGGAAAGACGAAACAAAGAACCAUAUGGGGGAUUCUAAUAUGUGCGGACAUAAUUUUCGCCAGUUUUUCUUUGUAGUGAAUUUAAGUUUGUUAGAGUUCUCACUAAAGCGUGAACCCAAAUCCAGACUGCUGGUGAGAAAUCCUAUCAGUCGCGUGAUGGGAAGAGAACGCCAUGUUGUGACAAAAACAUUCAUCUAUUCUCAUGUAAAUAUUUAAAGGCAGUGUUUUACUAGUCUCCAGUCCACUGUCUUAGUCCGGUACAUUAGUGAUUGAUAAUAGACAAGCGUGAUUUGUUGAUUUGGUGAAGUAUAACAAAAGUCAAAAUACAGAGAAAUUAAAGAUUCUACUCUCCAGACAGUCUAAUAAUUUCAGAGAUCUGACGUGCAAGAGUCAGCGCUGGUAUAUUCUCUUCAGGAGGGUUAUUGAUUUUUCACGCAUGGAUGUCAGAAUUGGUUGAUUCAUGCAGCAUAAACACAGUUCCUGAAGAAUAUUCUAAACGUCAAAAUUAUCAGGAAAAUUGCUAGUUAGGGCAUGAUUAUCACUGGAUUACUGCUACCUGCUGUUUUUAGUCAUGACUCGUGAGUGUUGAACCAGAAUGGUUAGGAUAAAUAAUGUAUACGCAGAAAGAGACAGAGAAACAGACAGAGAACCUUCACAGCCGUCCUGUAUAUACGGAUUCCCUAGAAAGCCCGACUCGCAUUUGCAUCGAUAGCCAAUGUAACCAUCCGUUGAAUUGACACCCAAACAAUUGCUAUUGAUGCUAACGCAUCCAUAUUCUGAGGAGUUCAGCUUAGCCUCCUGACAUGUCAGAUUGGCAACAACCCAUUGCACAGAGGAUGAUACCAAAUAGAGACCAGGUUCCUUCAGUGCAUCCACCCUAAACAUCUGUUGUGGGGUAUAUCUGAUGUCCACAAUGCCAUCAUAAAUGUCAAUAUGUGUCACCUGAUGUUCCUCAUCAAACUGGAGAGUAGACGUAGAAUUUGUGCAGUUGAGCUGAAGUAUCCUGGUUGCAGAACAACCUUCUUCUAGGCCAAAAGGGAACGGAAUAGAGAUGUUGCCACAAUUUCGCUGGCAGUUCACCUUUUGUUGAAUUGGAUUAUAACCUGUUUCUGACAAAAUAAAUUCAUGAAUGGUCAAUGAUUGGAUAACUUCAAAGCUGCCCCACUUAAGGAAAAUAGUCAGGCACUUCACCAACUUAUGCCACACACAAAAUUUAUAUAGCAUGACUUAGGAAAUACACACAAUUUAUGUAAACAUUUUUGCAGGAUUUUCUUGUUCAUAUGCGUGCAUUUACUAUCAGCACCUUCAAAUGUGCUUUGAGAUUGAUGUGGACUUUUAAGAUUCAAGCGGGCAUCAUAUUUUCUAUUAAUUGCAAUAUUAUUUGCACUUCCGUAAAUAAAUGAUUGUACAUAGCAUGGAAAGAAAUACCUUUAUCACGCGAACAACCAUUGGGUAUGUAUGAGUUACCACUGUACCCAUCUUCGCAACCACAGUGAUAGCCGGGAUGUGAUGUGAAAUGACUGUUGUAGCACACGCUGUUGCUACUUACACAAGCAUACGUCGUAACGUUAUCCAAGGCAGUGGCACAUGUCGGUUGAUCCAUAAUACUCCAUGAGAUGCUCGCCGAGGCGUAGUUAACGUUGAUGGUGUCCUGUAGCGCACUAUGGUCAGUGAGCUCGCGGCUACGGUUGACGACAAACUUUAACUGGAUGGCACUAAGAUAAUUAUCAAACUCGAUGGAGCAGCAUCCGGUUCCGUUGCAGUUUUCCCUGGCCACCUUGUCUGUGAUCUUUGCAUCAGGACAGGUGACUGUACAGAGCUUCCAAGUUGUAGUUGCUUGGUCAAUCCAGUACGUGUCCAAAUCACAGCCUGUGAUGUUUAGCACCACGUGAUCAAGAGUGAAAGCUGGGGCUUUCCAGGACAUGUCAUACACAACGACGCCCUGUCUGAUGGGUAUGGAAAGGGAAGGAAUCUGGACACUGAAAUUCAUGAAGCUAGUGCUUCCAUAAGUAGAAGCAUCAAUAUCAUUGGUGACCUCCGUGGUACUGUCCUGAAGGUAGAGCCUCGGAGGCUGCACGGUAUCGUCACAGGUGAGACUGAAAUCAGGAUCCCGGUAGCAGCCGGAGCCAAUGCCAAAUGGGUAGUCAAAGGUCAGGUUGCCACAUCUCGAUGGGCAAUUACCGGCUAACAUGGCACUGGGGAAAUAGGGAUGAGUGUUAUUUCCAUCUUGGCUUGUCAGGACACCAGAAGCUUGCUCAGUGAACACAAAAAGGAGAAGAUAAAACUGUAGACUGAACAGUUUCAUCAUCACCAGUGAAGAAGAGGCUGUCUUCUGAAUCUUAACAGAAACCAAGACUUAUAGAACCACCAGGAAAGGAGAAGGGGGGCUUGAAUUUCCUUUUUUUUUUUCUCGUUUGAAGAGAAGAUUUGGGAGAGGGGGGGAGAGGGGAUGCGAAUGUAGGCAUGGUCUGCCUGCUUUAUAUUGUCUGGACAAUUGAAAAAGGACAUGACAGUGGCUGUGUUGACUGGUGCAAGGGAAGACUGUAAGUGCAAGAUUGCACACGGCAAAGAUGAGGUUCACAAAAACAAGUAUCCAAAGGUUAAGGAAUACACGGCUUUUCGGCAGACCUAGCUAUCAUUUUUCCUAUUCAUAUCCAAUAGCUAUGACUUACUUUGAUAACAUGGCCAAAAAAAUUGGAUUAACUCUGGCGUUCAUUAUUCCCAAAACUAUUGGGUAUAGGAAUGGUCAUGGUGUUACACGCAAAUAAAAAAAUGUGUGAAUGAAUAAUUUUCUCUUAAUCUUGAAUGGCCGCUCUUUUUCGUUCUUCUUCAAAUCAGAACAAACAAUUCAUAACUAUAUUGAUUGUUUAGAUGUGCUUGUAGUUUUGAGUACACAUUCAGUACAAUAAAGUAUGGAGAGUUACUGAUAAAAGUUUAUUUUACUCUUCAGUAUGGGAAAAGGAAAUAGCUCUUUCAAGAGGAGGUAAAGAGAGGGGGAAUGUCUACAAAGGGAAAUAAGAAAAAAGAUGGGUUUCAUAUAUUGCUAGUCAGUCAAUGAAAAUAGCCCUUUGCAGAGGAGCUGCAGAGGGAGGAUGUCUACAAAGGGACAUAAUAGAAAAAAGAUAGAUUUCUAGUCAGUCAAUGAAAAUAGCUCUUUCUAGAUAUCGCCUAGUCAGUCAAUAUGAAAAUAGCUGUUUUCAGAGGAGGUGCAGAAUGAGGAUGUCUGCGAAUGGAAAUAAGAGAAAAGAUAGAUUUUAGAUAUUGCUAGUCAGUCUAUCAAAAAAGCAGCUCCACGUACAUGUAUAUAUGCACACACGGGUUAUCAUGACUCUUGGGUAUAUACUGGUUUCUAUUUUCUUUUCUUUUCUUUUCUUUUCUUUUGUCUUCAGUCAGCAUCAAAGAAUAAGUCCAUGAAAGCACCAAUUGUCAUUCAAUAUAGGGUUAUUAACUAGUAGAUCCAUGCCGUUACAACUUCUAUGGUUUGGGAAUAUACCAAUACAAUUUGCGAAAUUAUAUUCCUUCCGUCCGCUGUUUUGCUUUUUCCAAAUGUAUAGAUAUUAUUAUGCAUCUAGACAUAGGGUAUAUCUAAAUACAUAACAAAAUCUAUGAAUUAAAAAACCAAAACGUUCUAUAAUUUGGAACGGAAGGAGUACUGUUUUAGUUAUUAGUUAUGCUCAUGCCGUUAUAAUUUACCUCUUAUUUACCUUAGGUGAAAAUUUGGAGAAUAAUGCCCUCAUCUUCUUCUCCAUCUCACCCAACAAGUCUUCCUCAUCCGGCAUCCAUGGACGGCGAGUUAUACUCUGACCAUUGACAGUGCGAAUAGACGUAGGCUAGGCAAGGAAGACGCGGGCUGCAACGGAGUGAAGAUGAUUGUGUCCAUCGCGACGCCUGGCAAGCCGUUGCCUACCCGUGGAGCUUCUCUUCUCCCUGGCUACCAAAAUGAGCAGAUCCGACAGAGCAAUGAACAACAAGAAGAUAAUUCAGAACAGGAGAGGGAAGAAAUAAGGAUCACUCAGCACAUUGCAACGCCAACGAAAAUGGGAGCGGCGCAAGAACGUUCACCGAUGCCUGUUGAGUAAACAAAGGAAAUGUACCACUUUGCUUGAAUCAUGCUGCUGUUGCAUGCUGCAGGCCAACCACAGCCACAUGAUGCAUCGUUUUGGGCAUCGCAAGUGAAGCUUCACACUGCAUCGUUUUAGGCGAAUGCCAAUUUCCGACUGUGGGACCCACCUUUUAUUUUGGGCAUCCCGGAUUUCUUCUGGCUUCCAGCAAUCUCACCGCCGGUCAAUAAAACGGCGGCUCCACGUCACGUUGAUUGAGGAAUUGACCACGCAGAUACUGGACGAUCGAGCUUGUUUCGUGGACAGCGACGACGCCACAGGCCGUCGGGGGAACGUCCCUGUUGUUUGCUUUCUUCCAGCAAAAUUCAACGCUUUGCCUUGAGUUGAAUGGACUUUUGCGUCAGAUGUGUCACCUGUUACCACGUAGUACGAGUAUGGAAGGGAGAGGCCAGGUAGAUAGUGACAGGACGGCCAGUCUCGAGUCUCCUCAACUCCGGGUCUCCUCGACGCAGUCCAAGGCCUUGUUUAGUUUCCAAAUUGGGAGUGGCAAAGUUUACAUUUUAUCAUAAAUGCGCAACUGUAGUAUUUCGUUUGUAUUUGUAAAUUAUUGUUCAAACAUUGACUAAUUAGGCUUAAAAGAUUCGUCUCGCAAAGUACAACAAAACUGUGCAAUUAAUUUUUGAUUUCGUCUACAUUUAGUACUCUAUGCAUGUACCGCAAGUUUGAUGUGAUGGGGAAUCUUCUUUUUGCAUAGUGUUAAAGUUGGGAAUUUGGAGGUAACUAAACAGGGUCCAAGAUGGAAGAUUUUUCUCUAUUUUAGAAACCUGUCGAAGCAAAGUUGGAGAAGUGCAGUGAAGCACAGACAGUACACCCAUAACGGUUCACAACCAUGUUUUAUCUACUACAGAACGACUGAUCAGAGUAGGGGCCGGCAAAGCAGAGAACACCUUGUGCAUAGUCGCUGGACGACAUACCAGCAACUUCAAAAGAUUGCUAAUCUUACCCUUAAUAGUUUUUAAGGGAAAAAGAGAAAAAAAGAACUCCAACAGUACACCUAAAACUUCCCAAAAGAUUAGCAACGCGAAAAAAAACACUCCUCGCUCCGCAUAUUUUCGCGACGUCCGGUUCUUCCCCAAUCCGUCCGCACGUGUUUUUUCACAGGGCGAGCAGCUGGGCGGGCGGGGCGAGCUGAUCCCCGGGUUGCCGGAGGGGCUGGCACGGCCUGUUGGAGUUGUUCCAAAUUCACUCCAGGAUAUAGGCCGGGCUUCUGACGGACGGUACAGCAUAUACACCCUUGCUAGGGUUUCGUGGAGACCUGAUUCUCUUGUAAGCCGCCAUAGGCGUGUAACCCAAAACUCUUGAGAUAGUGAGAUUGUUGCUGGCUGGUGCCCGUGGUUUUUCCCCUUCACAUCGAAGGGGUUUUCCACGUUAAAUCGUGUGUCUCCUCUGUGGCUUGAUUCUUUACUUCAUAUUUCCAUACGUCGUUCAUAACACGGCCAGUGCUCGCGCUUGCCUAGGCGCAGCCGGCGGCGCCGGCCGACGAUGCAGCUUCGGCAGCGCACAAGCACUCGUCGACCGCGACCUCAAGGGGCCCCGCGAACUCGUACCGGAGCACCGAGGGCCGUGAAUCGGGCCUCUCCCUCACCCAAGCCCCAAGGAGGUGAGGACCCUUUGCUGAAGUCCGCCGUCUAUGAUGCGAUGGAGCGUGGAGGGAAACAAGGGCACUGGAUUCGAUGCCCCCUCCACCUAUGUCCUCAAAGUUCGGUCCUUCCACGCCGCCGCUCCCAUGACGAGGAUGACUUGUUCUGUUCCCUCGGAUUUUCUAUCUCUACCAAAUCAAGCGCCCCCAGUUUCUCUUGAUUGAUUGGAAUUUGCUAGCUUCGGGCGGUCAAUUUCAUGGAUUUGCAGCUUGCGCUGUUGGUGGCAGAGAUGCCGACACCGCGGGCCGCGACUAGCUUCGAGCUGGCGUUGCGAGCAUCACGGCCGGCGCCGACGGAGGCUGUGACGUCCUCUAAGCCGGUGACUGCGAGGCGGCGAGCACCAGCAGCCCGGCAGUACCACAAAUGAGCUGACAGCUGAUAAAAAUGGAAUUUUCACUGAACUGUCAAACUCUGAAUAUUUGGCUGCACCCACGGCGAGGCUCAAGCUCAGGCACUCGACGACUUCAGCAGUGGUGAGAUUAGCUGGAGACGCUGCGCGGAGCACCGUUGCUCACUGGAGCGCACCGAAGGUGACGAGGCGGUGGCGGCGAGGAGGAGCAGCAGGAGGAGGCGAGGAGCCAUGGUGGCAGAGUCGGUGGUGGUCGAAGGAGCGAUGAAGCUCUGUUCUGGAGGUAGAAGGGAUCUGUUCUGGAGGUAGGACCAAUUACGAUAACGUGGCAAAUAUUGGGGAGUAGUUUUAGCGUUCUGCUGUGACCUGAUAUGUUUUUGGAGGAAGAAUUUUUUAGCAUAGCCCAGUACCUCAUUUUGGGGAAAAAUUUUUUAGGGACUCUGGAGUUGCUCUAACCAGGCAGCAAACAAGCGUAGAGUAUCUCGCAAAGUAGCCUGUGCAGACGACGCGCACGUGCUGCGGCCAUGGAGGCAGAGCAUGGCGACGACGAAGGCGACCGCGGUCCCAGCGUGGGCGCGCCUGGAUCAUGUGGCGUCGCAGGCGCACGCGAGCAGGGCGCGAUGCCCCUGCGUACGCUCCCAUGGAUGGACGCGCGCACGUCGAGGCCGGUGUAGAGAUCCGCCAGAAGAACCAGGUACCAGGUCAGCAUCGUCGGCGAUAUGCCAUGUCGCGCCCGACGAGCAGGAAGCCGCUGGUGAGUGGUGACCACGCCCAUCGGAGGCUCUCGUCGCUCGCGGUCGCGGCAAUGCGCGUCCCAUACUGGAAGAACGGCGCAGCGGUGCUCCGACGAGCCGCUGCGACGACCAGGGUGGACGGUAAAUGAAAUACCGUCCACACCCUGGGUCCCUGGCAGCCGUUGGAUCAAGCACGUGCGGUCCAGAUCGUGCAAGGUUUGCACAGGCAGCAGCUCGGCCUCUCCGUCUUCCUCGUCAAUCGUCUCGUGGGCGCGGGAGCUAGGAGCCUAAUGGUGGCCGGUGGGAGCGCGAUGCAGCACGGCGGCGCUGCUCGGGCUCGGCCGCUCGGUGGAGAGUGUCCGUGGGCAAUGCCUGCAAGGAGAUGGACGGUUUCGGAAGGUGCGCGCGGUCGCCGUCUCGAACCCACGUCGUCGUCUUCUCGCCGUCGCCAGCCUGCCUCCUUGUCUAAGUUUUCAACGCAGGUUGAGAUGGUAAGAGAGCGUGACAAGCUGAUAGCUGCAAACACUCGGAGAUGAUGGGAAAGGUUGUAUCAAGAGUGGAAGAAAAAUGACGAGCGCUCUACUGGGUGUCUGGGUCUUCGCCGUGCGAUGGAAGCACCAACAUUCAUCGUGCAGGAGAGGUGCUUGACUUGACGAAGUGGUCCUCAAAACAAACUCAAGCAUUAACGAGUUGGAGUCAAAGAGUCGCUGACACUACGGCAAGGAACCAAAACGUCCGUCGAGACCUCGACUUCGAGGUCCGGCCAUGGCGCCCGUCGUUCCCCUCUUCUUCUGCGCCAUUCUCACCUUCACUGCAGCCGCCGCUGCCUCCGAGGUUGGCGCGCUCCUUGCCUUCAAGCGCGUUCUCACCGUCCCACUCCCACCCGCGGCGGCCGCCUUCUUCGCCACGUGGGACGCUGCGGCAACCUCCCCCUGCGACUUCGCCGGCGUCACGUGCGACCCCGUCGGCCGCGUCAUCACGGCCAUCUCCAUUCAGAGCCAGGGUAUCGCCGCAACGUCGGUACCGUUCGCCGACAUCUGAGGCGCGCUGCCCGCGCUCACGACGCUGUCCCUGCCGGAGAACUCACUCGCCGGCAGCAUCACCAGGGUGACCGCGUGCACGGGGCUGCAGGACCUGACCCUCGCGUUCAACGGCUUCGAUGGCGCCGUACCAAAUGUCUCGCCGCUGACGAAGCUCCGUACUCUAAACUUCUCCUCGAACAGCUUCGCCGGCGCGUUCCCGUGGGCCUCGCUUGCCGCCGCGCCGGACCUCGCCGUGCUCGCGCUCGGCGACAACCCGUUCUUAGUGAGGACGGACUCCUUUCCGGAUGAGGUCACCACAAGCUAACAAACCUCACCGUGUUGUACGUCUCUGCGGCCAACAUCGCCGGCAUCAUCCCGCCGGAGGUCGGCGACCUGGUGAACCUCGUCGACCUCGAGCUCGCCGACAACUACCUCACCGGCGUGAUACCGCCGGAGAUCACCAAGCUCACCGAGCUGUAGCAGCUUGACCUGCACAACAAUUCCCUAUCUGGCCAUCUCCCCGCGGGAUUUGGAAAGCUCACGAAGCUUCAGCACUUUGACGCGUCCAUGAACAACCUCGUUGGCAGUCUCUCCGAGCCCCGGCCCUCACGCAGCUCGUGUCAUUGCUGCUGUCCUACAAUAACUUCUCUGGGAAGGUGCCCCCAGAGUUCGGCAAAUUCAAGGAGCUCGUGGAACUUUACUUGUACAGCAACAACCUCAUCGGGGAAUUGCCACAGAGUCUCGGGAGCUAGGCAAAGUUCAACUUCAUCGAUGUGUCGGAGAACUCCCUGUCGGGGCCGAUCCCGCCGGACAUGUGCAUGGCUCCAUGGUGAGGUUGCUCAUGCUGGACAACAAUGUAAGUAACCGGUGCUCGUAGUCUAAGAGGAGAAGAGGGUGAAUUAGUCAACUUAAAAACUUAACCUAUAACAUCCACUACUUUGCAUGGCUUCAUGGUGAGGCUGCUCAUGCUGGACAACAAUAUAAGUAAUCGGUGCUUGUAGUCUAAGAGGAGGAGAGGGUGAAUUAGUCAACUUAAAAACAUAACCUAUAGCAUCCACUAUUGUGCAUGUAAGUAAAGAAGACCAUUUUAUCGUAGAAGUGCAUUCUAUGGUUGAUCUAGUAUGAAACCCUCAUCCCAAAACAAGUUUUGCAACCUAGAGCCAAUCCUAAAAAAGUAAGGUACUACACUAAGAAAGUAAAGGCACCCAAGUUGCAAGUACGAAAUGUGGAAAUGUAAGAGGUUAGGAUGAAGGGAAGCAAACUCUUGACACGAUGAUUUAUCUUGUGGUAUCAGUAGGCACUAAGCCACCACUACUCCACAUUGUUGAAGCACUCACACAAGAGUAUUGCUUCCCAGUCACCAAGUCUCUCCCAAGGCACCCCUUGACUUGCCACAAAGGCUCGGCCACUGAGGCACACGCCAAGUUUUUCGGUCACCUUGAUGCCGUUUCCACUAAAGAGCUUCUCCACGAAGUGAAGGGUGUCUCCAUGUCCCUCGCACAAGGUCGUCAACGCCGCUCCACACCAAGCCGGAGGGUCAAAAACUUGCCAGCGAGCCACCAAGACUCCAAGGCGCCGGCACACUUCUUGUACAGCGGUAGUUCACUCUAGAACCUGGUCACAAGGUUGGCACACCUUGCACUCACUCCUAUCUAGGGCUAUCCUAGCACUAAUCACUCUCCUAAGCUUGUGCUAAGCCUUUGAUGAAUCACUUAAGCACUUUUGGUGGCUUGGAUGUGUUCUUGAUGAGUUUUGGUCUUCAAUGCAUCCCAAGACACUCCAGCAACUCCAAAUGGGCGAGUAGUGGGGGUAUAAAUAGCCCCAAAGGCUGAAAGAGCCGUUGCUCUAACGGCUAGUUAAAAAGUAUAUCAUCCGAUGUUCCGAUGGUCUAUUUCUAGCCUACAUCAGAACAUCCGGUACAACUAACCGUUGGCUCCCACGCCCAACUUUUUCACUGACAUAUCCAAAAUUCAUCCGACGCUUCAUCCGAUGCACCCAUCGGAUCAUCCGGUGCUUAAGAGUUUUCUGGCCGAAACCUUCUGUCCGAUUUCAAAGUAAAUAUGCUCUGUCCGAUGUUCCUUUUGUGCCUUCCAUCGGAUCAUCCAAUGCUGCUUGAUUUUCUUCAACUUCCAAACCUGUCCCUCAGAAUUUGUCCGACGCUACUAGAAAAGGGAUCAUCCGAUGGUUGACUUUGGCUUGACUUCAUUUCAGCGUACCAAUUGCUCCGACGCUCAUCUGGGGGCCAUCAGAACAUCCAAUGGUGUAUUUUCCUGGAUUUCUUCAUUUCUUCGCUUGUCUUUGGUUGUGGUUGGUUUCUUGGGACCUAGAAUACCUUCAAGACGUGUUCUAACCAAUUUGUUAGUCCUAAUGACCAUGUUGUCAUUGAAUCACCGAACAAAUGGCUUAUUAAGGCCAUGUUCGCUACAAUCUCUCUCUUUUUGGUGAUUGAUGACAACACAAUUAAAGCAAGCAUAAAAUCAACACAAUCAUCCAACCUUCCCCUUUGAACAUCUUCAUUUGACUUCCCCUUGAUGUACUUCUCCCUUUUUCUUGUAUUUCUCCCCCUAUGUAUGUUCACACAUAGGUUCUUGCAUUGGCUCUUGCUUGAUUCCACAUUUCUUCCCCUUUGGAAUCAAAUCGCUAAAAAGACAAUCUCUUCCAUUUGUAAGCCUACGAGACCUUGCAAACAUAGUUCAAAGAAAAACAUUAGUAACCUAGAGAGAUAGCUUCAUGAAAUAUGAUCCACAUAUGAUGGUACCAAUGAAGAUACCACUUGUAGACUAUUAGGAUGGAUCAACAGUUCAUGAAACUAGCAUGAUACAAGCUAAGCUCCCCCUAUGUGUGUGCACAACAAGAUAGUGUGAAAAACAAGUGCACAACUAGAUAUGCGAGCAAAGGAAGCUUAGAACAUAUCAUGCAUGGAGGUAGCUCAUAAGAUAAAUGAUUUAACAAGAAUACCACUUGGAAGAUUAAGCAAUGCAUACCUCCAGGGAAAAAUCUUUUACCUUGAUGGCACCACUUGAGAUGAGCCACUUGAAAAUGAUAUCACUUGAAGAUGACACCACUUGAAAGGGGCUAACAAGAGAAACACAUGAGGUACCACAAGGAUAAGAAAUGUAUGAAUGCAUUUUCUUUGAACUUAUAUAUGAGAUGUAAGUUCGCAAGGACAUGACUCAAUAAGCAUGAAUGCUCAAAUUGCUAUAGUCACUCUUAUAGAGUUGUUAGUUCACAUUGAGAGUGAAAUAGCAUUCUCUUAGAGUGAUGCACCGGAUUGUGAAUGCGCCAUUAAGAGACUACACAAGAUAAGCUUGAAAAUAAGUUAGUCUCAAAGUCACAAAAGCUCCCCCUAAAUGUGUGCAUUUAGUGUCUGAAUCACCAACCAAGAGUAUGCACAUUUUUUUUUGACAACAAAAGGGAAGCUAACCCUAUAGAAUGUGCUCAUGUACAAAAGAUAAUAAAUGAAAGAGCAUGUAUCAUGAAAGAACCACACAUAUCAAACCAUGUAGGUUGCUCGUGGGUUAGAGAGAUACACAAGCAACCUACCAUAUAAAAACAACUAAGCAUUACAACAUAUAUCAUAUGAGAACACAAUGCAAUCCUAGACAUGGCAAUGGAGCUACAAUGAUGCUUGAGUUGGGUUCUAACUACCAUUACCUUUGGAUGGGGGACUUGGGCAUAUAUGUCUAAUGUUGUGAGCUUAGCUUCUUAGACUUGAAUCUUCAUCUUCUUGUGAGCCAAGCCUUCAAAUCCCCCGUAGCUGAUCAUGGGCUUCACAUGUCUUUUGGAACCCAAACCAUUUGAGACCCUUUCAUGUUGGUGAUCACUUCCUUGGGCACCCAAAUGGGUCGAUUCCAACCCCACUCCUUCUUCAUCUUCCCAACCUUAUGUGCAAUCACCUUUCCACUAGUCUUUUUCUUGAUGACGUAGGUGUUGCUCUUGGCCUUGUUAUUGUGGUUGGGCUUGGUGUAGAUGAGGGAGCUCUUGAUGGUAAAGUUCAUCUUCUUCACUUGAGGGCAUUGGUAGGACUUGUGGCCUUCUUCAUGACACUUGAAGCAAGUCACGGUUGCUCCCUUCUCAAGCUUCUUCACCAUGUGAUCACGAUUAUUUUGAGAAGGUUGGACGUUACUCUUCUUAUCUUGAGAAGCUUGUACAUUGUCUGCCUUGUCCAUGCCCUUCAACUUGGCCAAUUUUCCCAUGAGCCAUUUCACUUCUUGCUUGAGCUCAUCAUUCUCCUUGGCAAUGAGAUCAUCACAUGAUUAUAUAACAAUAUUCUCAAAGGAUUUGUCAUUGCAAGAUGGUGAGCAAGAUUCAUGAAUUAAGUCAAAGCAAGAAGUUGAAACAUCUAUCUUAGAUAUAGGAAUUGCACAAAGGAUAGAUGAUUCAUCUAGCUCCAAGGAAUUCUUAGUUUCAAUUCCAAUGCUCUCAAUUUUAGAUUUGAGCUCUUCAUGCUCCUUGCUAAGUAAGUUGAACUUGCACAACAAAUUUUCAUAAUUUGUAGCAAGAGUAGCAUUAAGGUCAUUGAGAGCAUUGAGUUCUUUUAUUUGCUUAGAUUGUUUCUUAAUGAUUCCUUUUUGCUCAUGGAUUAGCUCAAGAAGAUCAUCAAUAGAAGGAGAAUCGGAUUCAUCAUCACUUACAUUGCUUUCUAUACCUCGGGCCAUAAGGCAAAAAUGUGAUGAUGAUGAGGGACCUUGCAUGAAGCGAGUGGUGAAGUUCUUGCUUGAUUCAUCACUUGAGCUACAAGAACUUGAUUCUCCACCGCUUAUCCAUUCACGGACGACGGUGAGUGCUUCUUGCUUGGGCUUCAUCUCCUUCUUCUUUUUCUUGUGCUUGAUCUUCAUGAUCUUCACUUGUUGAUGAUGACGUCCUUCUCUCAAGUGAACAUUGUAGCCGUACAUGUUGUUCUUUUUCACGUACUUUAAGACCUUCUUGGCAUACACAUUUACCAAGGAUUUGGUUUCUUCAUCACUUGAGAAGCUUUUGUCAUCAUCAUCUUCUUCUUCUUCUUCUUCUUCUUCUUCUUCUUCACUUGAGCUUCUCUGAGUUGCCUUCUUCCUCAACUUCUUCUCUUGUUGACUUGAAAGAGCAAGACUUUGAGUUGGAGAAGAUGGUUCCUUGGGCUUGUCCUCGAGUUGCACCUUGGGCUUGUCCAUUAGCUGGAGCUCAAAUGCUAUGAUCUUGUUUAAGAUAUGAUUUGGAGUUAACUCAUCGAGCUUCUUUUCAAAGAGAAUUGCCUUCACCAAAUCAUAAUCCGGCUUCCAGAGGCUAUGAAGGAUCUUGCAAUUGAGUUCCGCAUUCUUGAUGUUCUUCACACCUAAAGCAUUGAUAUCAUUCACAAGAACAUUCAAGCGUGAGUACAUAGCCUCGAGAUUCUCAUUAUCAAGUUGCUUAAAGCUAUUUAGCUUAUCAAUGAGAAUAUCGUAUCUUUCAUUAGAUACGUCCUUUGAUCCCUCAUUGUUCUCUUUGAUAGUCAUUCAUAGCUCGUUAGCAUUUUCACAAGUAAAAACACGAUUGAAAACACUUUCACUAAGUGAGGACAAAAUGAUGCUCUUGAUAAUCACAUCAUAUUAUUUUUCUUGUUGCCCUUUAUUUUUCAUGCCCUCACUACUAACUCUCCAAAUAUUUAGGCCCUUAGCUUGGAGAAAUGCUUCCCUGAGAACUUUUCAAUGUGGAUAGCCUGUGUCAUCAAAAUGUGGAGCCAAACCUAUUGUAUCCAUCCCUUUCCCUUAUCAAGCUAACUCACAAGGUGGUGAAGGCUAACCAUUUUUAAUGAGCCGAUUUCACAAUUUGCCAAUGAAAUUGGCGAUUCUUUGUGAAAUAUGUGAGUCUCGGCUUUGAUACCACGUGUAAGGAAUUGGUGCUCGUAGCCUAAGAGGGGGAGGGGGUGAAUCAGGCAACUUAAAAACUUAACCUAUGGCAUCCACUAUUUUGCAUGUAAGUAAACUAGACCAUUUUAUCCUAGAAGUGCAUUGUAGUAUGAAACCCUCAUCCCAAAACAAGUUUUGCAACCUAGAGCCAAUCCUAACAAGGUAAGGUACUACACUAAGAAAGUAAAGGCACCCAAGUUGUAAGUAUUAAAAUACGGAAACGUAAGAGGUUAGGAUGAAGGGAAGUAAACUCUUGACACAAUGAUUUAUCCCGUGGUAUCGGUAGUCACUAAGCCACCACUAGUCCACGUUGUUGAAACACUCACAUAAGAGUAUUGCUUCCCGAUCACCAAGUUUGUCCCAAGGCACCCUUUGACUUGCCACAGAGGCUCGGCCACUAAGGCACACGCUAAGUUCCUCGGUCACCUUGAUGCCAUUUCUACUAAGGAGCUUCUCCAUGAAGUGAAGGGGGUCUCCACGUCCCCCGCACAAGGUCAUCAAUGCUGCUCCACACCAAGCCGGAGGGUCGAAGACUUGCCGGCGAGCCACCAAGGCUCCAAGGUACCGGCACACCUCUUGUACAGCGGUGGUUCACUCUAGAACCUGGUCACAAGGUUGGCACACCUUGCACUCACUCCUCUCUAAGGCUAUCCUAGCACUAAUCACUCUCCUAACCUUGUGCUAAGCCUUUGAUGAAUCACUGAAGCACUUUUGGUGGCUUUGGAUGUGUUCUUGAUGAGUCUUGAUUUUCAAUGCGUCCCAAGACACUCUAGCAACUCCAAAUGGGCAAGUAGUGGGGGUAUAAAUAGCCUCAAAGGCUGAAAGAGCCGUUGCUCUAACGGCUAGUUAAAAAGUAUAUCAUUGGAUGUUCUGAUGGUCUAUUUCUAGCCUGCAUCGGAAUAUCCGGUGCAACUAGCCAUUGGCUCCCCACACCCAACUUUUUCACUGACAUAUCCAAAAUUCAUCCGGUGCUGAAGAGCUUUCUAGCCGAAACCUUUUGUCUGAUUUCAAAGUAAAUAUGUUUUGUCCGACGCUCCUUUUGUGCCUUCCAUCGGAUCAUCCGGUGCUGCUUGAUUUUCUUCGUCUUCCAAGCCUGUCCCUUAGAAUUUGUCUGACGCUACUAGAAAAGGGACCAUCGGAUCAUCCGAUGGUUGACUUUAGCUUGACUUCAUUUUAGCGUACCAAUUGCUCCGACACUCAUCUGGGGGCUAUCAGAACAUCCGAUGGUGUGUUUUCCUAUAUGUCUCCGUUUCUUCGCUUGUCUUUGGUUGUGGUUGCUUCCUUGGGACCUAGAAUACCUUCAAGACAUGUUCUAACCAAUUUGUUAGUUCCAAUGACCAUGUUAUCAUUGAAUCAGUAAAAUCAUGAACAAAUGGCUUAUUAAGGCCAUGUUCGCUACAAACAACUUCUCUGGCGAGAUAUCAGCAACCUUUGCAAGCUACAAGACACUCAUGAGGUUCCGCGUCGGCAAUAACUCACUCUCCGGCGAUGUGCCCGAGGGGCUGUGGGCCCUACCAAAUGUCAUCGUCUUUGACCUAGCAAAGAACCAUUUCAACGGCAGCAUCAGCUCUGGCAUCGGGAAUUCAUGGGCAUUAAAUUUUAUGCCACAUCAGCAAUUUUGCUGGCUUGGUAAGGUCAUUUAUGAGGAGAGUUUCAUUAGAUGUGAGAGAAGUUUCAUCCCCAUAACACUCCGCUGGCACAGUUACCUAGUUCUUAGUCUUGGUAACUGUGCACUGAGACUAGCCUUACCGGUCUUCUACUAGCCGGCAACCGGUUCUCCGGCGCAAUACCAUCAACAAUUGGGAACGCGACUAAUAUUCACUUGGUAGAUAUGUCAUCUAAUGCAAUCUCUAGCACGAUACCAUCUUCGAUAGGGAACAUAACCUAUAUUUGGACCAUAGACAUGUCCUCUAACGAAAUCUUCGGCAAGAUACCGGAGAGCAUCGGGAAUUUGGCCUAUCUCACAAAGCUUUCCCUUGUAGCGAAUUAGAUAAACGGCGCUAUGCCAUAGCUCCUAUGUUACCCUGUAGGCCAGGGCACCACGAGACCGGCUAAUAACGAGGACAUCGCCCUCAUCUGUUCCUGUGCUACUUUCGCCUCUCCCAAUGACACAACGGCAUUAAUUAGGGUAAAUUGAGAAGGUUGUCGAUGGCUCUCUCACAAGAAAAUUUUCACACCGUAUGUUUGCAUCGACCCCCAUCUUGGCCGAAACCUCAUUCUCAGUUGGGGUCAGUGGUCAAGUUAACGGAUCAAGAGAAAAAUAUCGGGGAUGGCCAGUAAGAUCGGUACACUGAUUUUCGGCUGAAAUUUCGACCGAAAUUUUUGAAAUCGAGCCAAAUUUUGACUGAAAUUUGAAAGAUCAGCCCAAAUGCCGGUCGGAAAGUGAUCAGUAUGUACUGGUAUGACUAUUUACCGGUGUUCGACGAAAUUCAGCCGAAAUUAUGAACCCUGGUUGGGGUUCUAGCAAUCAAUGUCCUCGUUUGGAAAAUCCUCAAGAGUGGGGUUGGACAGGGACAGAGCUAUCAGGAUCACUGAGCUUGAUUUGGAGUUUGAAUUGGACGGUUGGACGGUUUAUAUAUGUAUUUCGAUCGUCUUGAGUAGGGAUCUGCAAUGCUAAUGCCCAAAUUGUAAUAUAAGACCUCUACAAAAUCGGAAGUUCCGGUUUAUCAGCCGUGCCAAUUUUGGUUAUCAAAAUAUACCCCCUAUUUCUUUUUUGGAAAAGCUUGUGUACCAAUAAAAAUUAUCAUGACUAAAAUUGCCUUAGGAAGAUGAUGAACACACAUCGGCCAUGUAUUUUCCUAAGGGCGAUACAAUUCCAUCGGCCAUAACAUUUGUAUGUGAUGUUGCAUUUCAUGUUCUCUUGCAUGGUGUUUUGUCUGGAAAAUACAUUUUCAAAAUGCGAAAAGAUCAAAUAGGUUUUGCUCUUUUUUAAAAAAAAAAGUUUUGAAUUGAAUUUUUUUUAAAUCAAGUUUUAGAGCUGGAAAAUUUGCACCAAAUUUUCAUCCCAGUCUCCUUUGUUUCUUUUUCUUCUAUCUAUUUUCGGCCAAAUUCCACGGCCACAGCACAACCAGCUCCCUCUUUCCUUCUCACUUCCUGGAGGACCCACCCGUCAGGGUCAUCUUCUAGCUCCAGCACCCUUUUCCCCUCCUCUGUUCUGUGCCCACCGAGCCGAGCUCAUUCCACCUCCCAUGGCCACCCUCUCCUUUUCUCGUCAGUGCGUCCCAAGUGCGCCACCAGUACCAGCUCGCCUCCCCUCCACUAUGGUGUCAAUGGUGUCUCCAUCUGCAGUGACGCAACAUGGCCGUCGACUCGCCACCCAAAAGUCAUACAAUCCAAAUGCCUAUCCUUAUCCCAAAAGAAAAAAAAAACAGACAGACAAACAAAUGCCUAUCAAGAUGUACUCUUAAGUCCAAGGACAAAGAAAGAGGCCAUUCGACAUGACUUGGACUGCUACAUGUGUUUUGACUGAAAGAGUGUUCUGCUAAUUUGGUUAGUUUCCACUUACAAAAGAAAAAAGUGGCGCCACUAUUUGUUGUUUUGCUGCUGUGCUGCACCAGCGAGCGAGGACUCUGCAUUUGACAGAUUGCGCCUCAAAGCAUGAGUACUCUGCAUGUGCUCGUCCUCGUGCUCCUGCUCCAUUCUAUGUGCAGUCAUGCAUCUUCCUCCUUGGAGCAGCAAGUGGCUGGUGGUGAUCGAAGAGCCCUGCUGGCAAUCAAGCUGGAGCUCUCCGACCCCAUGGGCUGGCUGAGCUCGUGGAACAGAACAAGCUCCGAUGUCUGCCAGUGGACCGGCGUGACAUGCAGCCGCCAGCACCCUGGCAGGGUGGCGUCGCUGGACUUGUCAUCGAGACAGCUCUCGGGCAUCGUCUCUCCAGCGAUCGGCAACCUCACGUUCCUGCGGAAGCUCAACCUGGAAUCCAACAUGCUGGCCGGCGAGGUGCCACUCACCGUCGGCCGGCUACGCCGCCUGCGUUUCCUUUCUCUGUUCAACAACUCCUUCCGUGGUGAGAUCCCUCGAGAAAUAUGCAACUGCUCCAACCUAGUCCGACUUUCCCUCGGAGUCAACCAAAUGGAAGGUGAAAUUCCUGCUGGGCUUGGAUUGCUGUCUCAGCUUCACAUCCUCUACAUCCACUACAAUAAUUUGGUAGGAAGCAUCCCACCAUCACUUGGUAAUCUUACCUUGCUUGAGACUCUUGAUGUCCUUGAGAACAGACUGGUAGGGAGCAUACCUGCAAGUCUUUCCCAUUUAGACCAUCUCAGAUCCUUUGAGGUGGGUAGAAAUAAUCUCUCCGGCACAAUUCCACCACUGCUCUUCAACAAAUCAUCGCUUCAAUAUUUCGGAGUUGCAUCGAACAAGCUGCAUGGAAGCUUGCCAGCUGAUGCAGGCGCCAACCUGCCGACUCUCAGAAAGUUCUUUUUGGGUAACAACCGGCUGUCUGGAACAAUUCCUAGUUCACUUGGUAACGCCACCAUGGUACAAGUGUUAGGUCUUGCACAGAACAGAUUCCAAGGGAGGGUGGCACCUGAGAUAGGGAAGCUCUGCCCAUUCGAAGUCCAGAUGGGUGUAAAUCAGCUGCAGGCAGAAGAUGAACAGGGUUGGGAGUUCUUCACUCUGUUUACAAACUGCACUCGUCUUCAACUGAUAGAUCUACCCCUCAACAGGCUAGGAGGCGUGCUUCCUACUUCCAUCGCAAAUUUUUCGACACAGAUCCAAUGGCUCAGCAUUGCGGCCAAUGGCAUCUCUGGAGUGGUCCCUUCAGGCCUGGGGAAUCUUGUCAACCUUAGCAACCUAGACAUGACUGAAAACAACCUGCAUGGUGUAAUUCCUGAAGAUAUCGCAAAACUUACAAGUCUGCAAGUAUUGUUGGUUGGAGAUAACCAAUUGUCAGGAAAUAUACCAUCUUCCUUCGGCAACCUCACACAACUUCAAAUGUUUUCCUUGUCAAACAAUAGGCUUGAUGGCCCCAUUCCUAGAAGCCUUGGUAACUUGACAAACUUACCUAACCUGGAUUUGUCCUCCAAUCUGCUCACUGGUUUUAUCCCUACUGAGAUAUUUGGCCUUCCGUUACUGACAGAUUACCUAUUGCUAUCUGAUAAUUACUUAUCCGGAGCUAUUCCUCCACAAGUUGGCAGCCUUAAACAUAUCCAAACUCUCAAUCUUUCGAAAAACAAUUUUUCCGGAGAAAUACCAACUAUAAUUGGUGAUUGUGCAUCUCUGGUCUACCUUGGCUUGGCUGACAACUAUUUCACAGGUAGGAUUCCCAAGUCGCUUGGUAAUCUGAGAGGCCUCAACACACUGAACCUCACAAGGAAUGCUUUGUCAGGCAGAAUACCGCAAGAGUUGGGUAACAUCAACGGCUUACAGGAAUUAUAUCUGGCACAUAAUAAUUUUUCCGGAAUCAUUCCAAAAGUUUUUGAGAACAUAAGUACCUUGGUUCAACUAGACCUCUCCUUUAAUAAUCUUGAUGGUGAGGUUCCAUCCCACGGGGUGUUUGCUAACAUGACUGGAUUCUCAAUGGUUGGAAAUGAUGGGCUCUGUGGUGGCAUUCGAGAGCUAGAAUUGCCUCCAUGUCAGGAUAUGCCUCAUAAGAAGCGCCAUCACACAUUGCUUAGGGUUGUGCUUCCCAUUGCUGGUGCUAUUAUAUGCAUCUCUCUUCUAUUGUUUCUGCUCUUUCUGUUAAAGUGGAAAAUAACACCUGAGAAGAUGAAAACUGAUAACCGUAUUGGGUUGACGGACAAGUAUCCCAGAGUUUCCUACCUUGAAUUGUUUGAAGCUACUGAUGGAUUUGCACCCGCGAAUCUGGUAGGCGCAGGAAAAUAUGGUUCUGUAUAUAAAGGAAGUCUGUCUCUUCCGGCAGUCAGAAAUGCUGCCGUAGCUGUGAAAGUGUUCACUCUUCAGCAAUCUGGUUCUUCAAGAAGUUUCUUGGCAGAAUGUGGGGCUCUGAGACGGGUGAAACAUCGGAAUUUGAUCAAUAUUAUUACCUGCUGCUCUAGUGUUGACACUAGAGGCAACGACUUCCAGGCACUAGUAUUUGAGUUCAUGCCCAACUACAGCCUGGAUAGAUGGCUGCAUCCGCGAACAGAUGAGCAGCUGCACAAGUUAAAUCUAAUCCAACUCUUGAAUAUUGCAGUUGAUGUUGCAGAUGCAAUAGAUUAUCUUCACAACAAUAGUCGGCCAUCAGUCAUCCAUUGUGAUUUGAAGCCCAACAACAUCCUCCUUGAUAGUGACUGGACUGCUUACGUCGCUGACUUCGGACUCUCAAAACUGAUUGGUGAAUCUGUGAACAUAUCUGGCUCAUAUACUGGAAGCUCCAUAGGGAUAAGAGGAACCGUUGGGUACGUUGCUCCAGGUAAUUGUAAUGUCCACCGUACGCAAUUCUUAACCAACUUAGUUUGUGCACAAAUCAGAACUGAGAAUUUAAUCAUCAACAUACUUGUUGUCGCAGAAUAUGGAGCAGGUGGGCCUGUAUCCACUGCCGGUGAUGCUUACAGCUUCGGGAUUACCCUUCUGGAGAUGUUCACAGGGAGAGCACCAACUGACGAUAUGUUCAGAGAAGGCUUGAGCUUGCACUUGUUUGCUGAGAUGGCAUUACCUGACAAGUUGACAGAAAUAGUGGAUACAGUGCUAUUAGAGGUGCAACCAUGUGAAAACGCUGCAAAGGAUGACAAAAUACUGGCUUGCUUAGCUUCGGUUGUCAGAGUCGGCAUCUCGUGCUCAAAGCAAAUCCCGUCAGAAAGAAUGAGCAUGAAAGAUGCAGCCAUUGAGCUGCAUAGAAUCAGAUACGUGGUAAUGGAGCCCUCUAUAUAGGAUCGGAAUUUUGAUUCCCCCUAGUGUUCUCCUGGUCCUGCUGUACUUUUCAGGCCGCAACUGAAAACAAUAGAAAUUUCCUUGAGGAAAUGUGGUACAGUGCCUCCACAUACAUAACGAAAGUCUGAGGCAGCCAUACAUGAUAGAGAAGCAUGAAUCUGUCAAGCAAAAUGGCACCAUCAGACUGCAUGUAUGUAUUUAUUUGGUACUUAAUAAAGCAUGCCGUGCAAAAUGUAAGUUUCCCCCCCUAUUUUAUAAACAUGCCAAAGCAAUGUUGGAGUGCAGUGAAGGAGAGUAUAUUCAUAACGGCUCACAACCACGUUCUAUCAGUAUUUCAGAACGAUUGGUCAGAGUAGGAGCCGGCAGGCAUGCUCAUGCACAUUCCUGAGCAUUGGUCCCUCGCAGGCAAAGCAGCGAACACCUUGGGCACAGCCGCCGGCGACAUGCCUAACGAGGAAGCAAACGAGCAGAGACGAUGAUGGUAUUGCGGUCAGGCGUGCGUACCUUGCAAAGUAGCCUGUGUGGACGACACGCACGCGUUGCGGCAUGGAACCAUGGAGGCGAGAGCGUGGCGAAGACGAAGGCGACCGUGGUCCCGGUGUGGGCGCGCCUGGAUCACAUGGCGUCGCGCCGUCGCCGUCGCCGGCGCACGCGAGCAGGGUGAGACGCCCCUGCGUACGUUCCCGUGGCUGGGAGCGCGAACCACGUCGAGGCCGGUGGAUACUGGCAAGAAGAACAGCUGAACAAGGUCAGCGUCGCCGGCGAUGUCAUGUCGCGCCCGGCGAGCACGAAGCUGCUAGUGACCACGCCACCGGAGGUUCUCGUCGCUCGCGGUCGCGGCAAAACGUGACCAGGACACUGGGUGUGGUCCCAGACUUGAAGACCGGCGGGGCGGCGCUCCGGCGAGCAACAAGCCGACGACAAGGGGGUGGACGGUAAACGAAAUGACGACCGGGGGUGGAUACCUGACAGCCGUUGGAUGUAGCAGUGCGGUCCAGAUCGGGCGAGAUUUGCAUAGGCAGCCCUCUCGCGGGCGCGGGCGCGCGGGAGCUUGGUGUCGCCAUGCUAGAGGCCAGACGGCGGGAGCACGAUGCCGCGCGGAGGCGCUCUGCGCCGAGGGCCUGCCGGUCGCGCUGCCCGCGCUCGCGGCGUUGUCCCUGCCGUCUCCGUGCGAGGCCUGGGCAUUGCCGCCGCGUCGGUCCCGUUCGCCGGCAUCUGCGGCGCUGUCCCUGCCCGUGCCCGAGAACGCGCUCGCCGGCGUCAUCGGCGAGGUGGCCGCGUGGCGUGCACGGGGCUCCAGGACCUGACGCUCGCGUUCAAACGGCUUCGGUGGCGCCGUGCCAAAUGGCCCAAACCUCUCGCCGCCGACGAAGCUCCGUACUCUCAAGAAUCUCCUCGAACAGCGCUUUGCCGGCGCGUUCCUGAUGACUUCCCGUGGGCAUCCCUCGCCGCCGCGCCGAUGUGUUCUACGUAGUAGCAAUGCACGAGGAAAUUUUCACGCGGUGUGUUCGCAUCAGUCCCUGUUCUUGAUCAGUUGGGGUACUAUCAAAUAUCAAUCAAAUGUCCUCGUUUGGAAAAUCUUCGGAGUUGGGUUGGACAGGGACCGAGCUAAGCUAGCGCCCAAAUGCUGUACUGCCUGAAGAGUGAAGAUUCCGUGCGUGGCAGCUCAUUUCGUGGUAGAGAGACAGACUGCUUUUAGUUGUGAAUUUCUAAAAAAAAAAGCACUCGCGAGAAACUGUUCGGCUGAAUUUAUAAGCCGGCUGAAAAGCUAAAACGAUUGAUUUGUUAUGAGAGAAAAACAUUAUUCGGUGGCUGAUAAAGAAGCGAAUAGGCUCAGAGAAACGAGAGCAGGUGCUGCCAGCAUUUCCUCGAUCGGAUUACAAAAUUGUAGUAGCUCUUUGCCCUUCGACGUAUACGCUUCCGCUCCUUUUCUUCGAAGGGGUGGGUGAAGAUGAAGCCCAGCAAAUGGAAAUGGGAAUGGAAGGACGGAUGCCGGCUUGGUUGCUUCGUUCCCACGAUCGAGGAGACUAACCGUCCGACCUUGACUGAAGUCCAAACGAUGCCACGAUCUCGGCUUAUAAAAAUGCCUAAAAAUUGUGAUGCUUGGCGUGCUCACUCAGGAUGUCUAUCUUCGUGAGGAGCCCCACGGGCAGGACAAUCCGCCUCCGGGUCCAACCAUCAGGUACAUUGUAUAAUGUUAAGGAAAAGAUUUUGGAACAACACCGCCUUGCCUUUGAUGGAGAGCAGCUAGACGACAACCUUACACUAGCUGAUUGCGACAUCCAGCAUGAACAACACCGCCCAGCUAUUCGGCAUGCGGCCCAGUUCGCUUCAGGGUUGCAGCUGUUGCUGUACAGCCCAGCCGUUCGGCAGGGCCCAAAACAGCAACAAGCCAGCAGGCCAGCCCAACGGCUGCAAGGCCCAGGCUGUUCCGGUCUCCUACCCGUCAGCGCCAGGCCUGCCCCCGUCCUCUCCACUCUCCUCCUCGGUCCGUUCUUCCGCCUCCCGUCUCCCGUCGCCUCCCACCGAAGGCCGAUCCGCCGCCCCGCACUCCGCCCGGCCCUGCCGCCCACUCCGCCUCCGGCCGGCCCCUCCUCCGCCGCCGGCCAGCCCCGCCCCGCCGCCCUCCGCCCCGCCGUCGCCGCCCCGCCUCACCAGCGACGGGACCUCGCCGGGCCGGCGUCGACGCACUGCCGCGUCUCCGCCCGCCAACGUGAGUAUCCCUCCAAUCUCCAAUCCUCUCCAUUCUCGAUCUGCACGUUUGAAUGCUGCUAGAUUAGGCAGUAAGAUCUCGUGUGCCUUCACUUUUGUUAUCUACACUAUUGUGAACCAUUAUUCUGCUCUGUAGUAUAAUUUUGUAGUAGGCAAACAAUCCAUUGCACCAAUUUUACUUACUGCUCAUCUUUAGCAAGAGGCAAAUUGUUCCAAAUCUGAAACUCAAGUGAUCACCUCUGAACUUGCAUACUACUGGUGUGCUUUUGUCAGCUGCACUGACCAAUACCUCUAAUUGAAAGGGCUGCAUUGUUGGCAAUCUCUGCCCAUUGUUGCAUUGCCUGCUUGCUCUGCCUUGCCCUCGGAAAUCAACUGACGCUGAUCUAUCUGACUGAACUGGACGGUGCACCUUCUAAUUGACAACGGCUGCAUCAUACUCACAGCCGCUACUCUGGACUGCCACAAAUGCAGCCAUCACCACCACGGGCAUUGCUAUUUUGCAUCUGCACUGCUGCUGCUUUCAUCUUGUUAGUGGCUAGUUUUAGUGAUAUAAACCACUGAAUCCACUCAGUAACAUUCAGUGGGUGCGAACUGGGAAGUGGCAACUAAUCAUUGCUAUUUGCUUCCUGCUAAAAUUAGCUGCCUUUAAAUUCUCUCCUCCCUUUUGACAGUAAAUAUUAUUAUUAUUCUUUUUUUUGCUCAUUACUAUUUACUUCCUGCAUUAAAAUAUGACAAUGUUUUGACUGCCUUUUAAAUUUUUAAAACAAACGCGCCAAGACAACUGCUAAGGCAAGUGACAUGUUCAUUACGUACAUCAUGGACCAAGAAUUUGAAAAGAGGGUAUGCCUAGCCAAAAAUUCCAAUAGAAAAUAUGGUGUAAUCCAAUAAAUGAUUCUCUAACAAAGAAUCAUGUGUGCACGAUAGUUUACAAACUGUGUUCUCAUAUUUUGAUAAAGAAAUCAGGGAAGCGUUAUCACCAGCAUAAUUUGAGUAGCAGCAGGAGCAUGGAACGAGCGAAAUAAUAGAUCGCAUACUGUCAACGAUAAACAUGAACAAAGCACCCAAACAGCUCCAUAUUUCCUCGACCAAUUUUAAUUUAACUAAUCAGUAAUCCUCUGGUUCAUUCAAGCAUCACGAUGAAGGGUUGAAGCGGGAUGGAGAUGGAGUAGAGCACCUAUCGCGGUGAGGGGAUUUGACGACAGGGCAGAGCGUGGGGAGUGGAGAACGGGCGGGCGAAAUGGCGGUGGCGCCUGGCAGUCCGCGGCAGAUGGAGCGGCGGGCCGGCAGCCAAGUGGGGCGGAGCCUGUGCGCAAUGGGAGGAAGCGGGGGCGCGCGGCGGCUGAGGGGUUGAGUUGGGGUGGGGAUCUGGGGUUUGGAUGCGCGGCGGCAGCAGGGUGUCGAAGCAGCAGCUACUUGGAUAGAUGGCACCGUUCAUUGGGCCGGGUCUACACGGUCACAGAUUGGGCUGAGCUCUGUUUCUUUAAUUGAAUUCUGAGUUCUUCCGAUCACUAGAAGAAAUUAUUUACAUUUUCUUGCGAAAAAAAUCAUCUACAUAAUUUUGUCAUUUCCGUUCGUGACACCACCCAUUCUCAUGUAAACCUUUUUUAGACGAAGGGUCCAGGCAUGGACAGGGCAGAUCUGAUGGUCCGUUUUCCUUUGUUAUAAAAAGAAAAACAGACCAUCAGAUCUGCCCUGUCCUUUAUGCCUGGACCCUUCUUCUAAAAAAGGUUUAUGUGAGAAUGGGUGGUGUCACGAACGGAAAUGAACUCAGAAUUCAAUUAAAGAAACAGAGCUCAGCCCAAUCUGUGACCGUGCAGACCCGGCCCAAUGAACGGUGCCAUCUAUCCAAGCAGCUACUGCUUCGACGCCCUGCCGCCGCCGCGCGCCCCUGCUUCGUCCCAUUGCACACAGGCUCCGCCCCACUUGGCUGCCGGCCUGCCGCUCCAUCUGCCGCGGACUGCCAGGCGCCACCGCCAUUUCACCCGCCCGUUCUCCACUCCCCAUGCUCUGCCCUGUCGUCAAAUCCCCUCACCGCAAUAGGUGCUCUACUCCAUCUCCAUCCCGCUUCAACCCUUCAUCGUGAUGCUUGAAUGAACCAGAGGAUUACUGAUUAGUUAAAUUAAAAUUGGUCGAGGAAAUAUGGAGCUGUUUGGGUGCUUUGUUCAUGUUUAUCUUUGACAGUAUGCGAUCUAUUAUUUCCCUCGUUCCAUGCUCCUGCUGCUGCUACUCAAAUUAUGCUGGCGAUAACGCUUCCUUGAUUUCUUUAUCAAAAUAUGAGAACACAGUUUGUAAACUAUCGUGCACACAUGAUUCCUUGAUAUUGUAAUUUUUGCAUGACCUGAUAUAUGUUCGUUAUAAUUUAUGCAAGUUUUGAACUCACUUGUCAACUUUAAGGUAUUAUAUGAGACUUUUUAAAUGUAUUAUCAUACUUAUGGUUACUUUAUACUAGUAAAACGAUUUCUGGAGAAUUUUGUAGUUUGUUAACGAAUCAUUUAUUGGAUUACACCAUAUUUUCGAUUGGAAAUUUUGGCUAGGCAUACCCUCUUUUCAAAUUCUUGGUCCACGACGCGGCUUAUUUGGUGUUUUGGUUUGUGCGUGCAGACUGGGUGCUGAAGAGGAGAAGCUAUAGGCGCUGUUGAUGACGGCCAUGGAGUAGCAUCCCAAAGCUAGCACCUUUGUUUCCGCUCCUGCGCCAUUGCCUGCACUUCCUGCUUAGUUUCCCGAUGAUCCUCUGCAACGCAUUGAGGACCGUUCGCAGAUUCCGGUGGGUUCCUCGGGUUCAGCUCAUUGUGGAGCACAGUGAGCCAUACCGAGCGGCACAUUUGUGUGCAACUGCUACCCGUUAUUGGGAUGUUCAAGAAUCAUCAGCUACCUCAAUUUGUGGGUUCACACCAAUUGGUCAUGAGUAUCAGUUGCGGCCUUACUCAGCUGCUCCCGCACGCCGUGGGGAGGAGAAACCCUUGGAUGAGGAUGAGGAUGAGGAGGAGGUGGUGGUCGAUAAGGAGCUCAAGCGAAUGGAGAGGAGCCGGGUUUUCUGGACUGCACAGCAGACUUUCUUGGAGUACCUCCAUUUCACACGGGGGCUGCCCUUUGCCGAUGCUGAGCAUAUAAGCAAGCACUCGCCUGCCUUUGUGAGCAAGCUGCUGGACCAGGUGAAGGAUGCUAUCAAGGACCCUGUGGAGGGGGGUGAGGAGGUGGUGUUCAUGUCAAAGGUGAAGAAGACUGAGGUGAGGGAUCAGAGGGCCACUAAGGCAUUGGUGCGGCUGUUCCGGUACCACCCUGUCAACGAGUUCGAGCCGUUCUUCGAGAGCAUGGGCCUCAAGCCAGGCAAGUAUGAUUCCUUUCUACCUCGGGAUCUUAUGUUUCUUGCCGAUGAUGAGACAUUGCUGGAGAACUACCACUUUCUUUGUAAUUAUGGGUUUGCGCGUACUAAGAUAGGGAGGAUAUACAUGGCUGCUGUGGAGUUUUUUAGAUCUGGUGACAAUGUGCUUCCAUCUAAGCUAAGUGCUCUUGAGGAUCUAGGGUUCAGUAAAACAACUGUGAUAAAACUUGUGACCUCUUGCCCUGUCAUAUUGGCACGUGACCUAAAUGCUGAAUUCAAGAUCAUGCAGUGGCUAGAUGAUUGUGGCAUUAAGAGAGACUGGAUCGGUCAAUUCUUAUCUGUGCAGAAGUCAUAUGAUUGGAAAAAGAUGGUUGAAAUUCCUCAAUUUUUCACUGAAUUGGGAUUUGAUAAGGAGGGUAUUGGUAAAUUGAUCAGCCAAAACCCAGAUUUCCUGUUGGAUGGUUCUGGAAAGGUACUGUUUAGAGUGGUUACCAUCAUGCUGAAAGCAGGUUCUGAAAAAAAGGAUCUAUUUAAUCUUUUCCUGGACUUCCCAGAUGUACCAGCCAGCGAUUUCGCGAGGAACAUACAGAGUGUUAUACUAUUGUUAGCUGAUAUUGAUGUAUGUGAUGAGGAUAUUAAGCAGUUUGUAGUAGCAAAUGCGUCAAUCCUUGGUUCUGCUCGAGUGAAGGCGGCCAACAGCAUUCUUACAAAUCUCAGUGUGGGAAAGAGGCGUUUGUGGAAGAUUAUAAAGGAGGAUCCACGGCAAUUGAUGAAAUACAAAUUAGGGACAAAGCUCAGCCGCCUGCCAUCUUGUGACAGGAGUACUGACCAAUCAUUGGAGGAGAAGGUAAAAUUUUUGAAAGGCAUAGGAUUUGUGGAAGGCUCUGAGGAUAUGAAGAAGGCACUCAAAUCUUUCCGUGGUAAGGGUGAUGAACUCCAAGAUCGGUUUGACUUUUUGGUUAGGACUGGACUUUCCCCAAAGGAUGUAGUGAACAUGAUCAAGAUAGCUCCACAUGUUUUGAAUCAGAAGAUACAUGUCCUUGAGUCCAAGAUAUCUUUCCUUUUAAAUGAGACAGCUUAUCCCCUAAGUGCUCUAGUUACGUUCCCCUCAUUCUUGUCAUUCACUGUCGAGAGAACCAAAGUUAGGUUUUUAAUGUACAAUUGGCUGCAAGAAAGGGGGUUGGUUGCUCCCAAUUUUGCGCUAGCCACUUUCCUAGCUUGUUCGGAGAAAGAUUUUAUUAAGCAUUAUGUAAGAAAACAUGAAUUGGGUCCAGAGGUCUUUGAGAAGUUCAAGAGGGAGGUGGCUGAAACCAAAAACAUGCAUUGUACUUCAGAUGAUUAGUACGAUAUUAAUUGGUAUUUUGAAUUAGUUCCCUGAAUAUUGGCAGUUUUUCCUUUUGUUUUAUUUUACUUUUGUCUGUGCCUACAGGUUUGCUUGUUGGUUUGGUGCAGACCAAUAGACGCCCUACUUUGUGUAGACCUAACUCUUUCAUAAGCUGUCCAAUUAGCCCAUGUCAUUUGACAAUAUCUGUGCUUUGAAAGGCAUUUGAUGGCACUACUUCUAGCUGUUAACCCACAAAAAUGUUUGCGUGAGGUUCCUCAAGGCUUUGAAUUAAAUAGUUUGUUAAAUUGUUUGGCGCUGAGUCUUAUGUCAACAUGUUUUCGAGAACAAGGAUACUGACAUAGGAGAUCAUAGUUUGGAAAGGUCUGUCAGGAAGGACUUGAUCGACAGGGCAUUGUUAGCUCAAAAACUUUCAAUGAACAAGAAGGAUCAGAUCUCAAUCUACAAAAUUGUGCAAAUGAUCCUUCACGUGUGGAUGACUUUCAUGUCCAAAUUUCUGAGUCUGCCAAUGAUUACUAUCCAUUUUUGUGAAAUUCUGAGUCCAUUUCUGUAAUCUAUACAUUGUCUGUACUGUAAUACUUCAAACAUGAUUAGCUCAUUAGCGUAUCUCUGAACAUUGUUUUUUGAAUGAUGAAUGGGGUCUGUUGUUAAUUACACAGUACUGCUUUGUUUGGUGAACUAAUUUGCUACAUGCUUGCCUUUAUUGGCAAGUCAGUUCAGUGAUUACGUGUUCAUGAUAGAUCUCCAUUCUACAUUAGAUAUGGUGUCCUUUAAAAUGCAGUAUACGCACUUCAAUUUCAAAUGCUCUGCUCAUAUCAGUUUCAGUAUAUUGUCCUGUUUUCAACAGAGUAGUUUGAUAAACUGAUGAACGAUCAGGUGAAGGCAUUUGCUGCUGAGGCAUCAUUAACAUUCUGCCCUCAGAAGCUACUUGUGUCCUAGUUUUUUUCUAAAAAAAAAUUAAAGUGAGUAUAUAGUGGCAUGUACUCCCUUCGUUCCGCAAAGACUCUAAAAUUUGUCCUCCCAUCGUUCCGCAAAGACUCUAACAUUUGUCCCACAAAGAGUGUCAUUUUACCUCCUAGUAAACCUCACUAAUUAAAGCAACACUCACACUAAUAAAAAAAGCAUAUGAAGAAGCGCGUAGAGCCAAUCAAAUGAUCAAUUGAUGUUAUUUUUCUAGUUUCAAUGCAGGUGCAUUUAUUUAGGAUCCAGAAGAUAGAACAAUUUUCAAUCACGAUUAGUAUUAGUUAUUAGGUCAGUCUCAGUGCAUGGUUUCAUCACAUUGUUACUAAGACUACCGUGUCAUCUUUUCAAUGAAAUGAAAUUGUCACUCUUAGUGUGCAAUUUCAUCGUGCAGCAAUUAAUUUUUGUAUAGAGUUAUGAUCAAUUGUAUCAUACGAUGAAACUACAACAUUCUCAGCGCAAGUUUCAUUAGGUUUCAUAGAACUAGGUAACUGUGCCAGCUGGGUUUAAAUUUCAUUGGGUUUCAUGGGACUAGGUGACUGUGCCAGCUGGGUUUCAAGGCGUGAAACUUUCCUGUUCUUUCUCCUCAUAAUUAAGUUGCCAAGUCAACAAAACUGCUGAUGUGACAUAGGAUUUAAUGUCCAUGAAACUUCACUGAGAAUGACCUUAGGGGCAACAUAGAACAAAACCUGCGUACAAAGCCUGAUGAACAUAUGCAUCUUGUUUCUUCAGUUUGCAGAACAAAACCUCUUAUAGUCCUAGCUGAUUGCCUCAUAGUACUAGAAUUAUAUAUGUUAGAAUUAUAAGUUACCUUCAGGUUUUAAAUUGUUGGUCUUUGUGAAUGGUUUUGGACAUGCAGGUAGGUCUUUGAUGUUGCAAAAAGGAGGUCAAGGAUGAAAACUCUAUUGUCAAAAAUUGUGUAGUAAACUCUAUUGUCAAAAGGACACGUGACUCCGAAAUAAAUUCGUGGCGUUUCACAUUAUUUCUUCCAAACCCCACUCCCUGUCACUCUGGCGGAUCAGCACCACACGCGACGCCUCGUGAUCCUCGCGGCACGAAUCUCGGAGCAAAAUCGACGGCGCUGAAAUCUCCGGCCGUUCGUAUCCCUCCUGAAUCACCGGGCCCACCAUCCCGUCGCCGUUUAAAUGUUUCGUGCACAUUCAUUGAUCGACUCGACUCCACCACCACACCGUCUCUCUCCGCAGUUCGCACUCAGCAUUGUUGUUGGCGCUCUCACCGGCGAGCAGCGAACAGAGAGGUGCGAUCUCUUGCUCCAGCUCCCCACUUCUUCCCCGCCUCCGACUCGCCGGCAACCGCGGGCGUUCGCAGAAUCUCGCCGCGUUUGAUCUUUGCCUUCAAUGGGCGCCGCCAACUUUAGGUUGCCCUUUUGGUGUCGGCGGUUCUGUUGCAGAGUUGCAGGCCGUCCCCGAGCGAAAGGGUUUUUUUUUUGUGUUGUGUGGUUGGUUGGUUCAAGUUGGGGUAUCUCAGUUGCGAGAGUUGCUAAUAAUAGAUGUGAUGUUCCUCGAAAGAAAAUAGAUGUGAUGACCUUUCUUCUGUAGAAUUUUGCAUUUUAUUUUUAGAAAUAAAAGGUGGAGAAGUUGGCGUGAUGCACACAUGUCCGAUGAUGAUAGACGAUCGUUUUAUUUGGGGGAGAGUUUUUAUUGCCUUUGAGUAGAACCAUCGUGUGCUAUAUAUGCAAAACAAAGUCUUUAGGAAGUGAUUUGUAUCACGGAUUUGAAUUGUAUGCCCAAUACUAUGUUGUGUAGCCUUCCUUUGUCAUUUCGAUUAUAAGCAAAAUAAUAUAUCACACUCUGCAUUUGUUGGUUUCCGCUUUAAAAACAAGGACAAUUCAAAAAUGGCAGAACGGUUCGUAGAGCACACAACAGGUUUAUUUAUAAAAAAUGCAUUGAUAGAUGAGAGGUUCCUAUUGCGUAUCUAACUACCUGUUGGUGCCAACUAAUUAGAUGCUUUACUUUUAAAAUUAUACGAAAGCUCAUACAUAAAGGAGCAGCAUGUCGAUCGACCUUUGUGACUGUUACAUUCAUCUUAUUUAUCCUGCCACCUGUUUGAGUCGUUGACAUUUUUGGCUACUUUUCUAUAGCCCAAACAAAAGUCAGAUGAAAGCAUCUGCUGUUUAUUUAGUUGCUGGUGGAAAUUAAUGGCUGCAUGCUCUGUUCAUUCAAUUAGAUAGAUCGAUGCAAUAUUGUAGAUUCUCUGAAGUCUGCUCUAGCUUCUUUAACAUGCAUUACAGUCUUCUUUGCUGAUUUGGAGUUAGCCUGUUGGUGGUCCAAUAUAUUCCAAUAGAAAGUGCUCAGGAAAAAGAGAACUGCAUAUUCACUUUAUCUCUUCAAUGUACAGAACUGAGUGAACCAUGUAAAUUUUUAAUUAUUGCUCAAAAACUUGGUAUGCUAGGCUUAAUGCGACACCGGCCUUGUUCUGUCAUUCUGUACAAAUUGUAUUUAAGCAGUAGAUUUCUUUUCUGGCUUCUACUGUUUUUAUUAAGAUAACAAGUUCCUGCUUCUACUACCUGCUGGAUUAGUUAGCUUUUUUUCUUUUGUUGAUGCAUAGCCUAAAUAAAAGAUGGAUUAAGGCAUUUUUGUCUAAGAAAUUGUGAUGCUUACCAUGCUCAUUCAGAAUGCAUAUCUUCGUGAGGAGCCCCACCGGCAGAACAAUCCGCCUCCGGGUCCAACCAUCAGAUACCUUGCGUACCGUUAAGGCGAAGAUUCUCGAACAGCACCGCCUUGUCUUUGAUGGAGAGCAGCUAGAUGAAAACCUUACAUUGGCUGAUUAUGACAUCCAGCAUCAAUCCACGCUUGACCUCCAAGAAAAGAUGCAAAUCUAUGUAAUGGAGACGCUAAAAGGCAAGACCAUCACACUCGAGGUUGACAACUUAGAUACUAUUGACAACGUGAAGAGCAGGAUUGAAUAUACCGAGGGAUUUCCCAAGGGUCAGCAGUGCCUCAUCUUCGACAACAAACAGUUGGACGACAGCAGCACCUUGGCGGACCACAACAUUUGGAAGGAGUCCACCGUUCUCCUUGUCCUCCACCCAUUUCCAAGAGGUACGAUGCAGAUCUUUGCGAAGACGCUGUACGGAACAACCAUCCCUCUUGAGGUUGAGAGCUCAGAUACAAAUGCUGUCAAGCUGAAGAUCUACGAGAAGGAUGGCACUCGCCCCAAACAGCAUCGCCUCAUCUUUGUUGGCAGACAAAUGGAGGGCAGCCGCACCCUGGCAGACUAUAACAUCCAGCACCAAUCUACCAUCCAUGUGGUGCUCUGCCUUUGCGGUUGUUGAGAUAUUUAUAAUGAUCGCUGAAAAGUACACGAUCUUGUGCUUAAUCGUUUUUCUUUCUUCCUGGCGCUUCGUCGCUCAUAAAGACUUCCUCUUUAUCAUGGCACAAUCUCAUGCGGGUUUGUUAAAAAAAAAUCGCUGAAGACAGAUCUGGUUCUGGUGCAGCCUUGCAGGCCAUAAAACUUAUUUGGUUUCAUCUGCUGAUGCUUGCUAUGAUCCUGUAAUAAUGUGUUUAUCAUAAUGCACAGUGUUCCCUGCAUUACAAAUUUGUACUUAAUUUUCUUGCUUUGUCCUUAAAAUUACUCUUUUCCUUUAUUUUCUGCAAGAUGUGUAAUUUAUAUCUACAAGAUUUUGAAAUAGAUGAAACUUCUCGGAAAUAAUUUGUAAUUUUCAUUUAUAUUUUCAUUGAUUACUGGAGAUGGAUCUGGUGCACACGAUAAAAAUUUAUAUGUUCCAUAUGCUGAUGGCUGAUGCGGGUUGUAAAGAGCAACUCCAAGAGUUCCCCAAAAAAUUCUUCCCAAAAUGAGAUAUUGGGAGCUAUGCUAAAAAAUUUUUCCCCAAAAAACAUAUUAGCCCACAGCAGAUCGCUAAAAACUACUCCCCAAUAAUUUAAAAGAGGCCACGUCAUCGCAUUAGGCCCAUUAGUAUCCGUUGAUUUUUACCGUGUCCAGAGCCCAUCAAAAAUACUCCUCCGUACCCUAUCACGCCACCUGCCCGUGCGCCAGAGGUCUCACGCCGCCACCCCCGCGCACGGUGGACUUCAGCAGCCCCUGCACGGCAUUCCUUGCCGGCAUCAUCCUCCGUGCACUGCGCGGAUCAAAGUAAUGAUUACUGCCUAGCAUCAUUUUCAUUUUGUUUUUUUGUUGCGAUCAGCUUUGACAUGUGAGGAUUCUGUCGUAAUGUGUUUUUAUGUGGCUGUCAAUACCUAGGAAAAACAGUUCCUUCGAUCUCCAACUAUAAUUGGAGACAGGUAAAAAGGAAUUGCUAUGAAUCGAAGCCUUUCGAUGCAUCUAGUGUUGGAUUCGUCGUCAGAUGAUGACGAUGAUGAUUUCUUAAUCUCUGUUACUCAUGUGACCGUGAAUGCGAAUGAGUCCGAUGAUGAAACAAAACAUCGUGGUUCUAUCAUAGGUCAUCGAGUACUUCAGCGAGACAGACAGGCAGGGCAUCAAACAUGAUAGUAAUUAAGUACUAGACAUAGAUAGUCGACUCAUGAUCUCAGCGCGCAAGGACAUGUAGUAUUUCUUUUGCUCAUCUGGCAUGGCGGUAAGAUCCAUGGUCAUAAUCCUCUCUUCAUCCCUCCUUUUUUGCAAUUGGACCUCCUGGCUCCUCAACUCAAGAAGUAGUUUUUCAUUUGCAACUCGAUCCUGUUCAAGAGCAACUCGUUCUUGUUCAAGAGCGAAAGCUUUGUUGAACCUCUCCUCUUUUUUUAGCUCUUUCUCCCCAUCAGUUUCUUUCUUCUGUGCCCACAUAUUUUCUAAGGUUGUUGUCACACUUUUUUUCUUCUCUUGCAGCAGUGCUAGUUUUGCCUUCUUCUUACCAAUCGGCCUUGUCAAUGCAUUAUCCUCUAGACCUUGAACCUCACCUUGUCCUAUUUCACUUGGUGAACUUGCAUUCGGGUCAACAGUUGAGCUUGUCUUCUGCUUCUUGUUAGAUGUUUUACCAACAGCCAAUUCAUCAAUUUUAGAAAGCCAUUUUGGUUGUGUUCUCAGCUUAUUCCAGCAAUGCAUGAACUGGAAUGCUUUCUGAUGUUCGUCUUCAGACUUGUACAAAGCACAUGCCUCUGCAACCUACAAGCACCACCAUACAAGAAAUAUUCAUAUACGAUAUAUAAAAAUAAAAUAGUUGAAACAAAUCGUGGUAUUGCAUAGUAAGUACCUUGUCUUUCAUUGUACUACCACUCUGACGCCUUAACUCAAUUCGUGCUAGACAUCCACAAAACUUGUUCACACAUUUUUGUAUGGUCUCCCACCGGUGCAUGAGAGAAUUUAUGGUACGCUUUGAGGUGCACGUCUUGUGUUCAUGGAAGUAAUCACAGAUACGAGACCAAUACUUGGCACCUUUUUGAUCUUUGCCUACGACCGGAUCCAAGCUUACAUUCAACCAUGCUGAAACCAAAACCUCAUCUUCGUGGUCACUGAAGUUCUUUGAUCUCUUAUGGUUCGGCCUUGCGGAGGGGGCUGCUGGACCAACUUCAAUUGCUUGGGAUUGUUGGUCACCACAUGUGUUGCUAUAAUAAUGAGAAUCCCCUAAAUUGGUUUCAUCCAUCAUCAUGUUGGAAAAAUAUCCGUUUCCUGCCCAGUAGGUAGAAAAUAAACAUCAAGUGGUAUAUGGAGGCUACACAUAUAAAAACUUGCUCAAGUGGCAUAUUUUAUCAUGCCAACAAGAUGGUGACUACAUGCUAGGAGCCAACUAGUCAGCUAGCUAAGUCCCUAAAGUGAAGGGAAUAUGAGCCAACUAGUCAGGAUCACAGCUGAUUUUAGUAUUUAUAACUCAUCUUAUGAGAAGCAAUGAAACUGUUCCUUGUUCCUACUUCCACUUAACCACAUACCCUUUAGUUUUGCUUCACAGCAUAGAACCAAGUUUCUUUUCAAAGUAAUACAGUUCAUUCACAUGCCUGCAGCUCAAUUAUGAAGUCGACAGUACAAAGCUUGUACAGAACAAGAAUUACAAGGAACAAGGCCCCCAUCGGCGCCAACGCUAUCAUCCACAUGUGCACAGGCUAUACAUUGGCCAUGGAGCAGUAGUAGAAGCAGAACAAGGAACAGAGAGGGAGAUGUCGUUGUUAGCUUGCUUUAAUUUUUAGCUAAGCCAAGUUCGUUAGCUGGAUGAGAUUAGCAGGCUUUAAUUUUUAGCUAAGCCAAGCUACUGCACUGAAUUGAAUAGAUCAAGAUACUAACUAGCUACAGGCCAACGCAAGCAUGCAAAGACUAAAAAGUCUACUGUUGCCGGACAGAGACAUUUCACAUGAAUUCAACCGAGCUGAGAUGCUGACCCUUCAGACAAAUAGAAAUAGCAACAGUGCAACUAGCAAGCAAAUGAGAACACUUGGUUGUGAGCUAAUCAGAUCUGAGAAACAAAGCCAAGCUGGUGGCCACACAAUUAAUUGAAAACUGAACAAAUAACAACAGUUGCUACUGUACUGAAUCGAACUGCCUGAAGCUCUGAAGAAAAGCAAUAUGAUAAUACAAGCUAAGGUUAGUUGCCACAUUAUCUUCAAUCAAUGCAAAAUCCUUCUAUAGGCAAAACAAAGCCACUUAGAAUUGACUACACAGCACAAGAAAUCUAUCUUAUCUCACGGGGAAUUGAGUUAAAGAGCUUAUGAUUCAUACCAUUCACAAAUGGGUUGCCGUUGGCCGCUUGUUCGAAAGCACCAGAAGGGCCGCCGCUGGAUGGGUACGGCACCGUCGAUAGGGAGUCCAAAUCAUCACUGGUAAGAGCUACAAUCGGAGGACCUUGCAGAUCACCACACAUGUCACCACUACCAGGCAGGUCGAGGUCGUCGCUGCUGGACCUCUCCAAAUUUCUGCUGCUGCUGUUCCAUUGAGGGAUGUGGUCGCCGCCGACGAGCACCACACGCCGUUGAAGCAUCCCUCCACUGCGCCUUACUUGGCCCUGCCGUGGUGCCUGCAUCUGCACAGGCAACAAAGAGUUCAGGCACGUCCAAGCGAAGAUAUGCAGAACAAUAUCAGCAAUGCAAGUUAGCUCUGUUCCACAACACCAUUGUAAUAUAUUAGUUGUAUUAUGGUUCCAUCUAAUAAAAUAAAGUAAGUUCAUUGUUGAUAUGAAAUAUUCUUAACUUAUAUGGCCUUCAGUUUAGACAAAAAAGAGCAGUAAAUUGUUUACACCAGUCACCUUCUUACACCAGUCAUCUCAAUAUCAUCAUAGUAAUUACUUUAUAACACCAAUGCAUUAUCUGAAUGAUAGUGCACCAAUUUCUAUUGCUGAAUUCAACGGCAUAAGGAAAAACAAAGACUCAGUCAGCUAUCCCUUAUUGAUAGGUUUUAGACUACUUCUAAGUUCAGUUAGAUAUGACACAUAGAUGUAAGUUAACAAAAGUUCAAUAUAAAUAUAGUUCUGUUGCUAAUUUCAUAAGUAGUGUUCGAGAUCACAAGGCUAGAAUGUCUUGUGCUCAACACUAGUGAACACCACUGUCUAGGUAUCUGUUGCUUGCUAAGUUCAGCAGCAGAAGCAAAACAACAGUUCAGUCACUUAUAAGCAAAGAUCACGCUGAACAGUGAAGAUAAUGCAAGUUAGUUCUGUUCCCACGACUCAUGGUACUCCAGAUCUGGAAUGAGGGGUUUACCCUGAGGCGCUCGGAGAGGACGGAGGGGGUGAUUAGCUUGUACUUGGGCGCCUCGGAGAGCAGCUUGUCGUAGGUGGCCUGGUCGAACAGCACCGAGUUCUUCACCUUCUCCUUUUGCUUUCCCUUGCUCCACUUCUGCAAAAACAAAUAAGCGCAUCCACCAUUAGAACCCCAGAGAUGGCAGCAGCCCUGACUGUACGAAGAGACGAGCGAGUCGGAGAGACAGCCGCACCUUCUUCUUUUGCUUGCCACCGCCGCCUGGAACCCGGACUCUUGCGCAGGGGAGGAGAGGAGCGUACCGCCACCCAACGCUCGCCGUCCACCGGGAUGCCGCCCCGACCUGCCGCCGCCUGGCCCUCGCCGUCCACCGGGACGCUGCCGCGGGCCGCCGCCGCCGCGUAGCGCUCGUCGUCCACCCGGCCGACGCCCCUCACCCCGCUGCUCUCCUCGCCGCCGCCGCUACGCGCGCGGGAAGAGGCCGCACGGGGAAGGAAUAUCUGCUCGCGCGCGCGGGAACGGGUGGGCUCACGCGCGGGAAUCGCGAUUGGGGGAGAAACGGGAACGCUAAAAUAUACAUGGUGGUAGGUUGUUUUUUAGCGUUGCUAAAAAAUUAGGGAAGGUUUAGGUGUACUGUUGGAGUUUGUUUUUUCUCUUUUUUCCCCAAAAAAAGUAUUAGGGGGUAAGAUUAGCAGUCUCUUGGAGUUGCUCUAAUAUCCUUUAUCCUGCUUCCUUUUUUUAACCAUGCCAGGAUAGAUUUUGGCUCACAACUGUUGUACACCCACAAAACAUAAGCAAAAUGCAUCAUUUGCUUCAAAAUUUCUAGGACUUCUGGACCUACCAUCACAAUUCAAGUUAGCGAAUGAAUCGGCACCGAGUUCUUCCGGACGACUUUUCAUGCGUAAUUAGUCUGUAUAGUACAUUAGGAGAAAAAAAGGAUGGACAUUGGAAUAAUAACACGUGGCUGUCAUGGAGACUACGCAGAGAGAGAGAGAGAGUAGAAUUUAAUUGGAAAUUUCUUGUGAAAGCUAUGGCAAUAACCUGUAUAGCAACUGACAGGCGUUCAACUAAGAGGGCUGGAUCGAAAUGCAUGGACAAUGAUGGUUUAGUUUACUCAUUGUUGGAUCCAUGAGCUGAAGUUUAGUUCGGAUCGCAUCAGAUAUUGGAUGCUAAUUAGGAGUAUUAAAUCUAGACUAAUGAUAAAAAUAAUUGCAUAAAUGAGGGCUAAUUCACAAGACGAAUCUAUUAAGCCUAAUUAAUCCAUAAUUAGCAUAGCUUCCUUGCCAUCCCACCUACACACCACAUCUAUCUAUAUAGGGGAUGCUAUCCUUUUGUAUUAACUCAUGAAAGACCCUUUAAUCCGGGUUGGUAAUACCAACCGGGAUUAAAGACCUCAUUUAAUCCCGGUUGGUAAUACCAACCGGGAUAAAAAGGUUCGAGGGAUUUAGUCCUUUCCCAGCCACACAUGGGGGAACCUUUUUAUCCCGGUUGGAAAUACCAACCAGGAUAAAAAGGGUCCGAGGACUUUAUUCUUUUUCAGCCACCCGUAGGGGACCCUUUUAUCCCGGUUAGAGUUUCCAACCGGGAUUAAAGGAUCCCCUUUUAUCCCGAUUGCUUUAGUCCCAGGUGGUAAUACCAACCGGGACUAAAGGGUGACCUUUUAGUCCCGGUUGAUCUUACCAACCCGGACUAAACGGUCCCCCACGUGUGCCUGGAUUUUUCAACCGGGACUAAAGGAUUCCCACGGAUGGCUGAUUUUUGAACCGGGACUAAAAGGUCCUUUUAGUCCCGAUUGCAAAUACCAACCGAGAGUAACUUGUAGCGCACCCCUUUUCUCCCGAGCUGAAAUUAAACCGAAACUAAAGAGGUGGUAUCUAAAGUCAGUUCUAACAUUAUAACACUUUGACGGUGGUGUAGCGUACGACGCCGCGCUAGAGCCGCUGGAAGCAAUCAUGCGAGCUGACUGAGGACGUCAUAGUCGGUGUCGAGUUAAGGAUGAAGUUUAUCGCAGACGCUGGAGCCGCGCAGGACCUCGCAGAUCAACAGUCAUCUGUCAGGGCACGAUCAACAGUCUAAACAACUGUCAUCUGUAAGUGUUUUGAAAAUCACACAUAGAGUGUUUUAACAGACAUCUUUAUACAAUGACUUGUCUAUUAUCUGUAGAUCAUUUAAUUCGUAAAGGGCACAUAGUUUAUGGUGAUGAAGUUCAUCUUUGUAGCUAUUUUGUUGCUUGUUUUGAUCUUAAAUUUCUUGUUGAGAUACAAAUAUAAUAUAAUUUUUGUUAAUAGAUAGAAUGAUAUUAUGAUUCACUAAAGUACAAAAUACAUAAUAUAAAUCGUAUGUUUUUACAUAAAAUGAUGGAUUCGAAGACUAACAUUCAAAAACAUUUGACAUUCAGAACUCUGGCCUGGAGGCCACGCGUGCUCUUGCUUAUACCAGUUAUCAUGCCGUUCAGCCAGCAAAGCAUGUUCAUUGUAUACCUUUUCCUCUCUCACCUUAUCCUUUCACAUGAGCCCAAGCCCACCCGUCUUCUCUGUUUCUAAUCUCUCUCUCUACCUCGUGUGCUUGGCUCGCUGUGCAUCGUGAUCUUGCUUGGGAACAAACUUUGCGCUGCUUCCCCUCACACAUAUAUAUGAGCCACAGGCUCUCGCUCGACGGACAGGUGGCUCUCGCUCACACAUAUGCUUCCCCUGUAUCUCCCGCUCUUUCACAGUCGCCCUUUGCACUCGAGUCAGCGUGAUGUGGAUGACAGAGCGGCCCGACGAGGUUGCCUAGGUGGGGUGCGGCGGGGUGCUGCCGGCGAAGGUCGGCUCAGCUCGAUGCAUCUAUCGGUGCAUGGCAGCGCGGCGUGGUGCGGGAGGAAGGGUGCGGCGGGUUGUUACCGGCGAGGCGAGGCUCAAUGCUUCCAUUGGUGGUAGCGCAGCACGGAUUUGUCUAAUUUCACAGUGGAUUCCGAGCCGUCGGCCACCGCUCAUACAACAAGCAUGAGGUUGUCCGCAGCGCGUCGGAGCACGAGCCGCGCCGUCGUCUUGCGUCCCUCUCUCUCCUUUACCACUGAUCCGCGUCAACAAAACAAGCCUACGUGGCAUCAUAUAAAAAUGGCAUUAAUUGCCUUUGUACGUGCCUUAGGCCUCCUCUGGCAUGGGCCUCCGGCCGCAGGGGCGGGCCCACUUAUAUUCAAUGGUAUUGAGUUGAAUAUUCAUUAUUUUUGAAAAAAAGUUCAUGUAUAUAGUGUAUUCUAGUUAUAUGUAUGGAAAAAGCAAAAAUAAAGAAGCUAACACAGUGAAACAAAAUAAAAAGGCCUACCGGCGGACAUCUUCCCUCUCGGGCUCUCCCUGGCCCAAUUUGCCACUCGGCCCACUCGGCCUCUCUAAUCAGCCAGGCCACGCACAACAGAGGGCACAGGCACCAGUGCACAGCACGCACAAACCACACAUCCUGACAUCCACAUCCAGGCGCCUCUGCUUCAACCCUAGCCGGCGGUGGCCGGCGGGGAGGGUGGAGCUCGGCGAUGGGGAGGGGGAGGGUGGAGCGCCGGAGCUCGAGGCUUGCGCCGCUGCGCGGAGCUGCGGCGGCGGCACCGCGGAAGCCGCGCCACCUACUGGACGUGGACGGCCGGGCGCCGGGCGGCCGGCGCUACUGGACGGCCGGCGGGCGGCGCCGCGGCGGCGCGCUCCGUUGCGACCCGCAUGGCCUCCGUGUGGCACGUGACCGCGUCCCCGACUCCCCGUGAUCCGUCCCCGACCGCGUGGCCUGCUUGAUUAGAGAGACCUGAUUCCUUUAAUUGUUUGUGAAAUUGUCAAAUUGAGGUUAGCAUGUAGCAUAUAAUUUUUCUCUGUUGUGAGCGAAGCAGCAUCCUGUGCACUUUUGUGAUCAUUCAUGUCUACUAGCAAACAUGUUGACCAUUUAGGCCUACCUUUUCCAUUAUCGUUGUGACUAGGCAGCUAGUAGCACAUUGAUGUUUCUUGCAGGCUAAAAACUGUUAUCAAAUACUAAUCUUCGAGAAUCUGUUGUCAUUAAUAAUUCCUCAACUGAAACCAAUGGGUCGCCCAACAUUUUGAAAGGGCUGGGCAGCUGGCAAUCAGGUGUUCUAUGCAGAACUGCAGCUAAUGUAUGCCCUGUUUUCUAUAUUGUAUAUCAUUAGCUGUGAGAUCUAAUUAAAAAAAUUGAAAAGCUACAAUUGAAAGGUUAAGAAGAUUAGCUGUGUGAUAUAUAGUCAUAGAAAAUAUGGGUUUACACCAACACAUUUUGAUUUAGAUCUGCCAGAUAUGUUUCAUAUUGUGUGCCUAAUGUUCUGCUAAUGUUGAUAGCAAAGCACUCUCAUUUUGAUUACCAUUUUGUUGUUUUAUCCUCUAUUUAUUUCACAUGUUGCCACUUUGAUAUGUUGACCAUUAGUAGCUGGACAAUUUCAAGUUGUGAUCAAUUUAUUAAUCAAUGAUGGUACCACUUAAUUCUGUGUUAUAAAUCUAUAAUUUAGGCUGUCAAUUUUUUUUUUCUUGCCAUCUGCAAUUUUAAAUACCCAUGAUCCAAAUCCUGCGCCCGCCUCUGCCUUGCACAAACGUCACAAACUGGGCCUCGUCCGUCGGAGCCAAUGUCGAGGCUCCAAAAUCUGAGACUUUGACGGUGUAGUCGUCGUCGAUGAGUAUGUUUGCCGAUUUCACGUCGCCGUGGAUGAUCGGCGGCGAGGCCCAGGAGCGCAGGUAAGCGAGGGCUUCCGUGGCCUCGUGCGCGAUCUUCAGGCGCGUCGCGAAAGAGCCGCGUGGCCCGUGGUUGUGACGGCCGUGGAGAGCGUGCCGUUGGGGAUGAACUCGUAGACGAGCAUGGGCACCUCCACCUCGAGGCAGCAGCCGCAGAGCUUGACGACGUUCCUGUGGUUGAUCUGGGAAAGUAUGAGCAUCUCCUUCCCGAACUCCUCCUCCUGCCUCUCGCUGAUCUGCCUUGUAGACGGUGCCAUUCCCUCCCUUGCCCAGCACAUUUCGCUCGUUGAAAUUAUCAGUUGCCUCUUCAAGCUCUGCUUUGGUGAACAAAGUGAAGGAAAUCCCCUGUUUUGAUUUCAUUUCCUCCAACAGCAAGAGGCCUCCGUGCUGCUUGAAGUACCUCUUCUUCACAGCGGCAAGGCUCCUCUUCCGGUGGAACAGGUAGGCUCCAGACAGGUAAUUACCAGCUAGCCUGCUAAUUUGAUUGUAAUCCAGCUCUAAUCCACACCAAUCCACGUCAAGUUAAUUUAUUUUUUCAACCCAACUCAUUCUAUAUUUAUAUUAUCUAAACUUAAGCCAAUUCAUCCUACUAGUUGAUAGAACCAUAGGUUUGCUAUAAAAAAAAUCAUGGUUUGCUAUAUAAAUCUAUGGGCUCAUAUAAAAAACUUGUAUAUAUUUGAAAUAAAUGUGUGUCCGACAUGUGGGUCCUACGUCAAGAGCUGAACUCUAAAACUAAAACAUCGUGUUCACACCUUAAAAUUUUAACGAAAUUGAUCGAAAUUUAUUGGAGUUGACAGAGUUUGACUGCCCGCUACUUUGUGCUAAAUAGUAUGGCUAAACAUACAUUUAGGCCCCGUAUUAAGAGCCGGACCCUAGAAUUAAAACCUCACGUUCACACCUUAAAAUUUUAACGAAAUUCAUCAAAAUUUAUUGGAGAUGACUCAAUUUGACUGUCCACUACUUUGUGUAAAAUAGUAUGACUAAACAUACAUAUGGGUCCCGCGUCAAGAGCCGGACCAUAGAAUUAAAAUCUCGUGUUCACACUUUAAAAUUUUAGCGAAAUUGAUCAAAAUUUAUUGGAGAUGACUUAGUUUAAGUGUCCGCUACUUUGUGCAAAAUAGUAUAGCUGGGCAUAUUUAUGGGCCCCACGUCAAGAGUCGGACCAAACUACAACCUCCCUUUCACACUUUAAAAUUUUAACGAAAUUGAUUGAAAUUUGUUUCACACUUUAAAAUUUUAACAAAAUUGAUUGAAAUUUGUUGGAGAUGAUUUAGUUUAAUAAUUAGCUACUUCAUACGAAAAAGUAUAGUUAGACUUAUAUGUGGGCCCACAUUAAGAAUCGGAUCCUUAAAUUGUUUGGUGAAUCAAAUCAAUGCAACCCACUCUAAACCACUCCCAAACUAUUUCCUCCUAGGAGGAACCCAAACCAAACCAAACCAUUUGAUGAAUCAGCAUAUUAAUAACCAAUCUAAAUAUUCAAAAGAAAUCCAAUCCAUUAAAAUCAUUAAACCCAGUUCAAUUAGCAGGGCCCAUGCUAGCAUAACUAUGGCCAUGCUAACAGCCGUAGCAAGGUCGCAGGAUCAGAUGUUGUCGAGCAGAUGAGAUGGUAAUUGAGGUAACGGAGAUGACGACUUACCAGGCAAAAAAUCAUAUAUUUUUUUUGUCGGGUUUCAUUUCAUUUCAAAAGGAUCAUAAUGUGUUUUAUGGGGUCAUCUGGUGCAAUAGUAUGAUCCUAUAGUAUUAUGGCAUACUCCUCCGCAGAUGCCUGGUUUUAGGCACUCAUCAAUAUCUGCAGCAACAUCAUACUUUAGUGAUACAGAAAUUAACAAAAUGAAGACGAUACCAACUGUCGAGACUUCAGUGUUUCUUCAGAUAACUAGAAAUCUCCAUGUUUAGGUGCCGUUCCAGCUCUCAGUAGUUUUUUUCUCCUUUGCGAUGAACCUAGUUUGGUUUGUAAGUUUGAUAGUUUGUUUCUCACUAGCCCUUUCAGUUUUUUUCCCCUUUUCCAUGGUUGUAAGACUCUGUAUUUUUUCCCACUCUCUCUUAAUGAGACGUGCUAUGCACAUUCUCGAAAAAAAAGAGAAAUCUCCAUGUUAAUUGGAGAGGAGAGCAAUAAAAUAAAGGAAAGUUUAUGCAAACUAGUUUAUGGAAAGUUUUUGUUUUCAUCAGUAAUCCACAGUGAAUUUCAGUUUGUCACUGUUCUUCCUAAAACGCGGACCCAAGCCCUGAUUUGUCAGUGAGAAAUCCUAUUGCACGGCUGGAAAAGAACACCAUGUAGUGGCAAAAACAUAAAUUGCAUGUAAAUAAUUAAAGACAGAAAACAGUUCUAUUCUCGCAUCCAUUGUCUUAUUCCCGUACGUUAGUGAUAGUAGAAACGCGUGAUGUUUCAGGCAUUGUUCAGUGAAGUAUGACAAAAGUCAAAAUAAGGAAAAAAAAGAUUCUACCUCUGCGGAAAGCCUAAUAGUUUAAGAGAUCUGACAUGCAAGAGUUAGUACUGAGUUGUGAGUAUUUUCUCUUCAGUAGCUUAAUGAUUUUUCAGGCAUGGACUUGAUUCAUGCAUCAUAUAACACUGUCUCCGAAGAAUGUUAUAAACUUGAAAAUGUCAGAAAAAUUACGACCUAGAGCAUAAUAUGAAUCUCCAAGACCAAACGAUAAAGAUCUCUAUUGUUGAGAAUGGUUAGGAUAAAUAAUGAUCUCCAAGACCAAACGAUAAAGAUCACUAUUGUUGAGAAUGCGCGCGCGCACAGACACACACGCAGAGAGGGAGGGAGGGAGGGAGCGAACCUUGACAGCCAUUCGAUGUAUGUGGAUUCCCAUUAAAGCCUGGCAUACAUUUGCCUCCUGACAGGUCAGAUUGGCAGCAGCCCAUUGCACAGAGGAUGGUUCCCCCGAACCGAUAUAGAGGGGGGUUCCUUUGGUCCAGAUCGGGCGUGGGCUGGAGAUUCAUGGACUCUGUCGUCCUCAUCAGUCGUCAGGCAGGCGCGGGAGGCCGCCAUGCUGGAGGCUGGACGGCGAGUGUUCGCCGGUCGACGGCGCGGGAUACCUCACCGCUUCAUCGUUGCAAGACAUGCUCGCCCGAAAAGUAGGCCCGGGCAGGGAGAUUGGCCGGCCGGCUGGCUUCGGCAGCUGCGCGAGGUGGCCGGCCGUCGGCAAGCACUUCAAAUAUGAGCUCAGCAGCAGGGCGAACCAUGAAGCUAGAAAAAGGCCAAUCAGACGAGCGUCUCCAAAGAUCUCAAAUCACGAAUCACGGCCGGGUUAGGGGAUGCGAUCGAGAAAAAAUGCGUUGGAUUAGGGAGAAAUUAAAGGCCGAGUUCGAUUUUAUUUUGGGAAGAGGGAGGACUCCAAUCGGACCGAAUGGAGAAUCGGACAUGUGUCAUCACCAAGGAACGUGCAAAGAGUCAUUGGCAGUUGGCACUGCCGGCGCGGCGGCGGUGGCUACACACUGACCGGAGAAGUCGACUCCGGUACGGGCGCGCGGCCACCACCUCGAGGAGAGCCGAAUUCCUCGGGUGCUGGAGCGCCCUUACUUUCAGUUGCGCUCGGCAAGCCACGUGCCUUGGAGUGCGGUGGCGCCGGUGCCGUCGCCGCUCCAUCGCCGUCCGCACGCGCGGCCCGUGGCUACAUCUUCAAUCGGCGACGAACAGCAUCCCCGAACGAACUAUGGCCACGGGCGCCAAGUGUGGGGCGGUGCGUGAACCUGGCGGAAGCAAUGCCCGGACGCGACCUCGCCGGUACCGAUGCCGCCGCCGGCGGAAUAUUUUCAGGAAGACCCCUGGAUCGCGAUUAAAAUUUACACAUAACCCCCUAAUUCGGAUCGCGAUCAAUACUUGUGAUCCGAUUAUUUGCAAUUAGAACCCUAGAUUUUGCAUAUAGCUCCCUGGUUGGGUUCCUCUGCUUACGGCUUACCACCGUCUUCCCCGGCGGAAUCGAGUAGCCCCGUCGCCCCGUCCCGGCUACCAGUCCCUCGCUCAAGCCCGCGCCGGAGCUGCGGCCUUGCGGGCAGGUCGAAAAAACGGCGGCGAGCGUCCGCCGGCCGACGGCGCGGGAGACCUCCGCUUCAUCGUUCAAGCUCGCCCGAUCAGUAGGCUCGGACAGGGAGACUGGCCGGCCGGCUGUCUUCGGCAGAUGUGCGCGGUGGCUGCCGGCUCGAACCACGUCGCCGUCUUCGCCGCCGGCGCCCACCUGCCUCCUGCUCCAGGUUUGCAACUAAUAACGCAGGUCCCAGCGAACGAUGGAUCAGAGAGCAUGUUUUGCCGCAUGUUCAUGGUUCAGAGUUGAGAGACUGCAGUAGCAUUGCAGCAUCAGACAACUCCUAAUUUCAGUGGAAAUUAAUUUAAAAAUCAAACCUCCUCUGCGUAUGGAAGUUCAUCGUUACUCUGUUUCAGAGUUGAGAUUAGCCAUGCAUUCAAGCAUCAGGCGCUCCUAUUUUCAGUAGUAGAAGUUAAAUUAGAUUCAAACCAUGUUUAUUGCUGCCGUUUGUGUUGAGAUCGAUGAUGGAUCUUUGUGCCUGAAUCUACAGACUUAUGCUGGAAGGAACAGACUGUUACUUUGCAAUUUCCUCUGCCUAUAUGAAAGUUACUGAACCGAAUGCGAUUAACAGCUUGCGAAAACGAAGUGAAUUCAUGCACAAUCUACGUAUCUAUUGUUUGGAGAGACAAGUAUUGCACUGAUCUUUUUACCUGCCGAUGUUUACUGCUAAAGGCUAUUCAGUGGAUGUUCUUGCCCAUCAAGUACUCCUGACACUGCAGCUGAACAGCGAGCACUGCAGCAAACUCCGUGUUCGACGACGCGAUGCCACGCUGUGCGGGGGAACUCCGGGUCUCCGGCGCCUACGCCACGCUCGCACGGCAGCCGCGCCACGUUCUGCUCUCUCGGGGGAAAGGCCGGCCUGCCCGGUAGUGCACCGGCGGCGGAGCCGUCGCCGCGCCACCGCCGCCCGCGGACGCGGCCGAGCGUGGGGCCGGGGGCUACAUCAGAUGAUCACUGCCGUUUGCGUUGAGGCUGAUGAUGGAUCUUGUGCCUGAAUCUACAGAUGUAGUGCUGCGAGUACAUCAGGCCAGGAACCUUCAGAUUUCAGGGAUCGGUAAGACAAAUUGCAGAAACUGACAGCGGGUAGUAAGACAAAUUGCAGAAACAGAUUUGUUAUACCUCUGAACUUUUUGUUUUUUCAUUUUGCGUACACGCACUCUGCGGUUCAGUUAAACGGCAACUACAUAUGCAGAGCACUAGAGCUACGCUAGUGUUAGUUGGAGUGUCAUUCAAGAAGGCACUUGGCCGCAAAUUGAGGUGAGCAUGGCUCGGCCUUUUUUUCUUCCAUUCCAAAGUGAUGUCAUCAAAACAAUAACGUGUGAUGUUCUUUGGCAAAAAAAAAAGGAAAGGAUUCACGUGACAGUUUGAAAAAGGCAGCGAUUCGGCAUAAUCCGGUAUGCAAAUUCAAAUUGCCAAUUGGUUUGAAGCGCGGGGACCAGUACGGACUUUUAAAUAGUGAAAACAAAGAGCAAAUUUGAAUAUGAACCUAGACUUCAAGGCUGAGGCCGGCCGGCCGCCGGCAGGCGUGCUCAUGCACAUUCCUGAUCGUUGGUCCUUCGCCAGGCAAAGCAGCGAACACGGAACACCUGGUGCCCGACCGCCGGCGAGAAGCCUAACGAGGCAGCAAGCGAGCGAAGACGAUGCCAUUGAGGUCAGCCGUGUGUCGCGUGUGUACCUUCCCUGUGCGGACGCGCUGCGCGCGGCCAUGGAGGCGAGUGCGUGGCGAAGACGAAGGCGAACGUUAUCCCGGCGUGCGCGCGCCACCUGGGUCACGUGGCGUCACGGCGGCGCACGCGAGCAGGGGGUUAGGUGAUGGCGCGUGGCACCACAGCGCGCACAGGUUAGAUGCGCGCGUCGACGGGCGACACCGGGUACAGCCGCAUGGACUCUGCGAUGGCGUCGUGGAGGUCGUAGCGCAUGUCGCGCAUCGGCGUAUGCGAUGCAUGCAGCCGGUCCAAUCUGAACGGAGACGCGUCCUCUCGUCGCUCGCGGCGAAGCUCGCAGGACGCAGGAAGUCGACGCUUACUGGCAGGCCGGCGCGGCGGCGCUCCGGCGAGCCACGGCAUGCAGCGGAGGUGGCGUCGACGACCAGGGUCCAGGGGACGGGUGGACGGUAUUUCAAAUACCGUCCGCCCCCUGGGUCACUUUACGCCGUUGGAUCGAGCACGUGCGGUCCGGAUCGGGCGAGGUCUGCACAGGCAGGGGCACGGUCGUCCUGGUUAGUCGUCAGGCAGGCGCGAUGCUGGAGGCCGGACGGGGACGGCGGCGGCACGGCGGGUGUGCUCGGGCUCGGCGGCGAGUGACCGCCGGUCGACGACGCGGCGAGACCUUGCCGGCCGCUUCAUCGUUUGAGAGAAGCUGGCCCGAUCAGGUCUGGGCAAAGCGUGUCCAUGGCCCCGGGCACGGAGAUGGCCAGCCAGCCGGCUUCGCCAGAUUGCCGCACGCGGCCGCCGUCUCGAACCACGUCGCCGUUUUCGCCGGCGGCGACCUGCCUCCUUGUCCAAGCUUGCAACGCAGGGUCCAGGGCGAUGGAUCAGAGAAUGUGGCUGCCUGACAGACAGCAGCAAAGACAGAGUGUUUUGCAUGUACGUAGUUCAGAGUUUGGGAUUGGCUGCACUGCAGCAUCAGACACUUCAAAUUUCAGUAAAAGCUAUAUUAAGCCAUACUUAUCGCUACCUUUUUGUGUUGAGGCCGAUGAUGGAUCAUCUUUGUGCCUGAAUCCACAGUUGUAGUACCAGGGCAGGAUGUCAAAACUUGCUGCGAGAAAUACAGUCCAGGAACACAGAGCCUUCAGAUUUGAGAUCAUAGACUGUUAACACAAAUCAGAGCAACUGACAGUGGGUGGUAACAUCUCAAGAAAAGACAGUAAAAUACCAUGUGCUCGCAGCCUCGCACUAGUGCAGCAGGAGAUGGCGGAAUUUGCGAAUUUGCAGGACUUGGUCCAAACUGUCGAGCUAAAUGAUCAGGAAGAUGACAGGAUAUUUUGGAAAUGGACGACAAAUGGAAAAUACACGUCCAAAUCAGCAUAUCAUGCACAGCUGAAAGGAAUGUACUGUUCAUUUUCCAGCAAUAGCAUUUGGACUGCACAUGUGGAAUAUAAACACAGGAGAAAGGGUAUUAACAGCGGACAAGAUGAUGCAAAAAACUGGGAGUGUGAACCAACAUGCAAGCUUUGUGACCAAGAAAACGAAACGGCUCUGCACUUGUGCCUCCUAUGGAUGUUGGUGUCCAACUGGACGGGAAGGAAGGUUCCCAUUCCUGGAGAUGGGUAUGAAUCAACCGAGCAAUGGUGGACACAAACAAUGGCCAAUAUCAGUAGGAAGCAGCGGAGAUCAUUGGCGGCCUACUGCAUCAUAACGGCAUGGAAUAUAUGGAAUGAGCGCAACAGGAGGAUCUUUGAAAAUAAAUUCCUAUCGCCUAUGCAGCUGCUUCUUCGCAUUCAGGAGGACAUAAACAUCAGGAAGCAAGCGUGCGGGAAGCCUGGGCUGGAAUAGAGUCUCUUUAGUUUUUUUUCAUGAAUGAGUCAUUUGAGCCUGUAUCUUUUUUAUGUAUCAUCGACUUAACUGUAACCGCAAACUUCUACCUCCUUAUAUGAAUUAGCAGCACUCCUGCUCCUUUUCAAAAAAAAAUUCGUUUUCCAUUUUGUGUACAGUCAUGAGUUAAACGGCAACUGCAACUGUGUGCAAGCAAUUGCAUGUGCAGAGGUAAGGCAGUGUUAGUUGGGAGUGCCAUUCAAGAAGACAUUAGGCACUCUUCGUGUUGGUCUUUGGUAAAAAGAAACAGAUUCUAGAUCCACAUGGCAGUUUGGAAAUUAAGCAACUCGGCUCGGUACACAAAAUUAACCAAUUUAGGAUCCAGAAAAGGUUCAAAUAAACACAUUGCCCAUCGAUUCGAAGCACGGAACAUGUACGGUCAUCGGGCUGUUUCUGUCACAUUUCGGAUAGUAAUAAAGAAAAAAAAGAGCAAAAUUGCAAUAUGAACCUAGACUUCUGUUAUUUCAUUCUAAGGUAGGUUGAGGGAGGUUACAAACGUCAGUCAGCUAGUAGGUUGACCAAGAGGAAAGGCAGUGUGCUGGAAGAUUGAAUUUAACAUGGCAGCAGCUUUACCAAAUUCCAAAUAUUUUUUGUUUCUCCUUGCUCAUUCAAGGUUUUUUUUUGUUUCUCCCUUGCUCAUUCAAGCUCAAAUUCUAAAAGUAUAUACACGAUUUUACGCCCUAUCCAUUUAUAUUUUGGUUGGAAAUUUGGAUGCAAACGGGCUGGUAACACCGGAGGCGUUCACGUUUUGCAAACUGUAACGUUGGGCUUGGGCCUAGCUUUGAGUCCUUCCAAGUUACGUGGGUUAGACCCGCUUACGCUUUCUCUGGGCUCACUUGUACACAUUUCCCUGGCCUGGGCUCUGUUUCUUAUACAGGAGGUGAAUUGACUGAUCUCCUCCAAUGUUGUUGUCACGAGGAUACAAAUGCGAGCGGUUGUUUGGUUUCCCGGAAAUUUGCGACAGCGGAUUUAUAUUUGUUGAUGCGCAUAUGCAUGCCAUCCUGAGAUCACGAGGAAGGAUGACAGGGCCGGCGACACUCUCUCUUCUCUGACCAGAGAACUUGUGAGGUGAGCAAGCAGAUCCGUUGGUAGACCCGAUGCCGGCCGACCAAAGUGGCCUCCCGCUGCACGAAGGGCUGACGUCAAGUACAUGCCGCCCAUGGCCUUCCCGCUGUACCAAAGGGCUGACGACCCCAGGCCUGGUCCUUGCUUGCUCUGGCCGAUGAAUCCGCUGCCGAUCUUGUUUGUCUGAAUCUUGACAGCGAUGCACCGGCGAGAGUGGUCAGUGGUCACAGCGUGAGCAGCCAACCCUCGUCUCAGCCAUACGAAUUCCUGCCCCACCUAUCCAUCCAUCAAGUUAUCAGGAUCGGCCUGAAUGUUGUUGCUACAGUCCCAGUGGCUUUUCUCCUUUUUUGAUUCUCUAGUGAUGGAGCCUCAGAUUUGCGUGUGCUACCCUGUAUCACUUUGUCUGAAUGGACAGGCGGCAACCUCCGCGACACUACAGUUUACAGCACGUGUCGUGUUUUUUUUUUUGGAACUAGCUUCUUCAUUCAUUCAGAAUCCAGAUUACAAUCCUCUUGUUCUUGUAGAGGUCGCAACAAGAAGCUAGGGGGUUCUCUAUCCAAACUUCAGUACUAGUAGAACUAGCAUGCUUAGCACAAACAUGGGCGACAACAUUAGACGAUGAACCAUAUUAAAAGAGGUAAAAGACGUCACGACUUCCUGAAUCUCACGCAAAAUCGUUGCAAUCUCCGAUCUGUGGUUGUGUUCGGCCAGUCCUCCAGCUCUGAAGAAAACUGGGGGCAACCACCACGGAAUGCUGGAACUGCAGGUAAAGUGCGGGCUAGUUGAGUACCCUGCGGUACGAGUGAACUGUGAAGCACGAAAGAUUCUCCAGCUUCAUAUCAUAACAGUCACGCCGUCCAACCACCUGGCGAGAAUCAGAACCACAAUGCCACACAGCAAAUCACAACCAACCAGAUCAGGCAUCUCAUUCUUUCCAACUAACCACCAGUAGGGAACCAGCAAAACGAUGAGCCGCGAAGAUGCUUUGCUCUCUGCCAGCAAUCUGUCGACCGCUUAAGGGCCAGAAGAGCUAACUGAAGCACGUAAAAGGACCGACAAAAAAUGCAGGAAAAAAAAUCAGUGACUCAGUUCGCAAAAAAUGAGAAUUGCAGUAGACUGCAGCAAGGAACACAGAAGCGGGACAAAACAUGAAACUAUUAUUUCCAAAGACGCAAAGCUCAUCUAUGCAACCAAACCGACUAAACACAGCAAAAUUACAACCGAACCGUUCAUAUUCUUCACAACCAGAAACUAAACUCAGGUCCCAUAUUAGCAACUUCGUUACAUGAAGGUAGCAAGCAGGUAGGAAAAGCAAAAGGCAACUCAUGUCCCAACUUAGCAUGAAUCCUGGCGUCCGGAGGCACACCAUUUCACAUUUUAUUCUCUGCAUAGACAAGCAGCGGGGCCGUUCCACGACCGCAAAGGCCUAGGGAAGGAACCAUGGAGCGGAGAUGACGCUCUACUGGGUCUUGAACAUGUGGCGGAUCAGGUCGACAACACGGUUGCUGUAGCCCCACUCGUUGUCGUACCAGGAGACAAGCUUGACGAAGUUGUCGUUCAGAGCAAUUCCAGCCUUGGCGUCGAAGAUGCUCGACCUAAGUGGAAACAAUGAAACAGGAAAAAAAAUGAAUAACACAGCACAGGAACAAAACAACAUUCACUAGAAUUCAUCGUAGCACUAUCGUGGUGUGCCCUAGAAUAUCCACUGGUUCCUAGAACUUGGAGGACCCAAAGCAAAUUUCGUGUACCUGCUGUCACCAGUGAAGUCAGUGGAAACCAAAUCCUCAUCCGUGUAACCCAUGAUACCCUUGAGUGGCCCCUCAGACGCAGCCCUGUAAAACAAUAACAAUCAAAUUAACAACAUUUCACGAAUCCCCAACCAAGAAGAAUGCAAGAAACAUGGACUCAGGAACCUCUCCAUGUCAAACAUGGCAACAGAUUAUCAUUCCAGACAAGAAAUGUAAAUACAUUGAUAAAUUAAUUUAAAACAAUAAACAAGAGACUUACUUGAUAGCCUUCUUAAUGUCCUCAUAGGAGGCACCCUUCUGGAGUCUAACGGUGAGGUCAACAACUGACACAUCCACGGUGGGAACACGGAAGGACAUACCAGUGAGCUUGCCGUUCAAUUCAGGAAGAACCUUACCAACAGCCUGCAGUACAUUAAUAUACAAGUUAGAUGCAGAAUCACAAUUAAAUUUAUAAGAAUAUAGAAUGGUUGCCAACUUUACACUACGCAGAACAUAAGUCAAUAAUGAAGCCUUUUAACACAUGAUUCCAAGGUAUUUGCAUGCUCAUUUAUGUGAUUUAGGCUCAGAUACAUAAAUUAGUUCACAAAGCUAAGUAUAAACCCAAAACAGAGAAAUAAGCUAUCAAGUUUCUAUCACAAAUUAUCAGCUAGCCUAGCAGGUCAAAACAGUUCGCACAAACAAAAGACUACAGAAGAACUAGGAAUUACAGGCUCACUGUAUACAACAUUGUGAGUUUGUCAUAUACCUUGGCAGCACCAGUGCUGCUGGGAAUGAUGUUAAAGCUGGCAGCCCUUCCACCUCUCCAGUCCUUGGCUGAGGGUCCAUCAACAGUCUUCUGGGUGGCUGAGAGACAAGUAUCAUUCUGUCAUUACUACAAGUAUCUUCUCAAUCCUAGGAGGAACAAUGGCUCAACAGACAACUCACCAGUGAUGGCAUGAACAGUGGUCAUCAAACCCUCAAUAAUACCAAAGUUGUCAUUAAUAACCUGUUUUAUGAAGUUAGACAUCAUUAAUAACCCAUCUACAUCAGAAGAGCAGAAACAACUAAAAAAUGGCUCAAAGAAGAGACAACACACCUUAGCGAGGGGAGCAAGGCAAUUUGUGGUGCAGCUAGCAUUGGAGACAAUGUUAAUAUCUGAGGUGUACUUGUCCUCAUUGACACCAACAACAAACAUAGGUGCAUCUUUGCUUGGGGCAGAGAUAAUAACCUUCUUGGCACCACCCUAUUAUUCAAAAGCAAAAUGCAUGUGUUAGAAUCAUCCAGUUGAAACUUCGAGAAGAAUGUUGCGCUUAUGUGGAACAGGGUAAGUUACACAGCUCACAAUAAUCUACAUGCAAAAAGCACAGAUACGGUGUAGACAGUACAUGCAUGUAUUAGAUCCUAAUCAUGACGACACUACCUUGUUUAGCUUCCCAGAUGUAUAGAAGAGUCCAAUAACUCUGCUUAUAACAAAACUAAUGGACAUUAAACAAACUGGUAACACUGGACAGUCUUUAUAGAAUAGAAGAGUGUAUUUCAAAUCUCUCAGGUUAUUAAAGCAUAUCAGAAUCAAAUGACCAAUUCAAUUGGAAGGAAGAAGCUACCACUAAACACAGCUGCGAAGAAAAUUUACUACUGAAAAUUAAGACACCAUUUUUUAAGCCCAACAACUAAGUGGACCAUCACUUAAUUUGUUCCCCGCAUGUAUACAAUCAUACCAAAUUCAUGCAUUCAGGAACUAGGGAGAACAAAAUACAUGAACUGCAUGCAUUCUAACCAGCAAUAGGAUUAUGUGGCAGCAAUUAUACCUUCAAGUGAGCCGCAGCCUUGUCCUUGUCAGUGAAGACACCAGUGGACUCCACGACAUACUCGGCGCCAGCCUCAGCCCACGGGAUCUCCUCAGGGUUCCUUUUAUAUUACAGCAGUUUAAACAUUAGUUCACAGCGUGAACACAGAAGCUCAAUCCAUCACUGAAAGCAGUAACAGGGGAUGUACCUGAUGCCAAAGACGGUGACCGGCUUCUCGCUGAAGAGAAGGGUCUUGGUGUCCUUGAUCUUGAUGUCGCUGUGCUUCCACUGGCCGUGCACGGUGUCGUACUUGAACAUAUAGGUCUGCCCGAGACAGGAAGCGCAUAAAUCAUGAGCACAGCACUCAAAAUUCACAAUUCAGUACGCUAGCAAAAACUAAACACAGAGCUAAGCACUAAAUCUCAAGGUGUACAUGCCCACAAGACUAAGCACCAAGCGAAGCACUAAAUCUGAAGCUGUAGACACCCACUGACAGGAUAAAUAAAAUAUUAUAAUUAAGCAACAUGACCAGCAAAUCCCCCCAGAUCCAUGGAACCCCAGUAAAGAAUUGGAGUCAAACAACUCCGGAAGCCCACGAUUAACAGCAUCAAGCACGCUUCCUCACGAAUCGGCGCUGAACCCACCACAAAACCCCCCAUAAACCACCAGAUCUACGCACGACAGCGAACGAAACCAACAGAUCGAGGCGCGUACCAUGUAUUCGGUGGUGAUGAAGGGGUCGUUGACGGCGACGAGCUCGACAUCCUCGCUCUGGAGGGCGACCCUGGCAACAAGCCUGCCGAUUCUUCCGAAACCUAAGCCAAAUCACACAAACAAAAACCAACUCAGAUCAGUCCAGAUUCAACCACGCAGAGACCAAACAAGCACGUAGAGUUACGCUGGCGGGUACAAACUCACCGUUGAUUCCGAUCUUAAUCUUGCCUGCGCAUCCGCAAAUCCACCCAACAAAAACGAGAAAAGAAAACAAGUCAGCAAAGCCCGUCCAGGCUAGAUCCGAGUACGAAGCAUAAGAGAACAGCAAUUAGACGGGGAGAUCCGGGUCAGGAGCGAGCAAUUACCCAUGGCGAGAGGGGGUGCUGCGAGGCCGACGACGACGAGACGGGGAGGAGGGUGUGAGGAGAUGCGAGAGGAGGAGCAGGGAAGUGUCUAGAAGCGGAUAGGGUGAGGUGGGG
Molecule: long non-coding RNA, 72425 nt
Filed under: Setaria viridis
Lineage: Eukaryota; Viridiplantae; Streptophyta; Magnoliopsida; Poales; Poaceae
Description: long non-coding RNA (SVIR_LNC006401)
Source: RNAcentral